This 52178-nucleotide long non-coding RNA is filed under the name Brassica napus (rape). RNAcentral's name for it is "long non-coding RNA (BNAP_LNC009256)". The record is from RNAcentral. Lineage: Eukaryota; Viridiplantae; Streptophyta; Magnoliopsida; Brassicales; Brassicaceae.
ACAAUGAUUAGAAUAAAAUUACCAACUCACAAACACCCUUUGUACCCUACGCCUUGGGUUAGCCGUUGCAAGGGUUGCCCUCGGAGAGGUGGUUACGUCAAAGACGGUUAUCGUUGCUAUGAGUGUGCUAUUUCCUUUCACAAAGAAUGUGCAGAGGCAAUCUUAGAGAUCCACCACCCAUCUCAUCAUGCACAUCCUCUCUCUCUCGUUUUUAAGAGGCGCGGACCGAAAAAUUGUAAGUUAUGUGGAGUAUAUUUGUAUAAUAGUAAAUAUUACCAAUGCUCUAUAUGUGAUUUCGUUGUUCAUACGGCUUGUGCCAAAAAUCCACCACCAAAUGUUAUUGAAUAUCCCAAAGCCCAUGAACACUCUCUUGUUAUCGCAAAGGAUCUUUCUGAUUUCAAAUGUGAUUUUUGUGGAGAGGAAAUUCAGGGUAGUUAUCGUUACAGAUGUUCUCCAUGUAGAUUGGAAUUCGAAAUCGGGUGUUCUAUGCUUGCUUUAGAGAUAGACUACCCAUAUCACCCUAAACACCCCCUUAAAUUCCUCACCAAGGAAGAACAUCAUUUCUCUGAUGGUAAAUGUCUUAUUUGUGGAGAAGAAUUAGGAUUGAAAUUUUAUCAUUGUUCAAUCUGUAAGUUUAGUGUGGAUGUUAGUUGUGUGAGGGAUCCUCCACCGCUUACAGUCUUAUUUCCUAAGGCUCAUGAACAUCAACUCAGCCUUACACCAAGGAAAAUAUCUUUUGACUGUGAUGCCUGUGGGAUGGCGGGUGAUCGGAGUCCUUAUUCAUGCCAACAAUGUUAUUUCAUGAUCCAUCAAAUCUGUAUUGACUUACCAGAGAUCAUCAACGUCAACCGUCACGAGCAUCGCCUUUCUAGACGUCUUCAUCUAAGUCCUGAGAGUUGGGUAUGCGGAUUUUGUCACAAAAACGUUGACUGGUCUUAUGGGGCAUAUUCUUGCUCGAUUUGUCCUAAUUAUGUCAUUCAUUCUAAAUGUGCAAUACGAGAUGAUGUAUGGGACAAGUUAGAACUGAAAGGGAUACCAGAAGAACCUCAAGAUAUCGAACCAUUUAAGGUAAUAGAUGAAAACUUGAUAUGUCAUUUUAGUCACAAGGAACAUUAUUUACAACUCAACGAGGAAGGUAUCAUAUCCGGUGGAAGCAUUCGUUGUGAAGCAUGUGUCUUACCUAUAUAUUCUCAAGCAUUCUAUAGCUGCGUGCAAUGCAAUUUCAUUCUCCAUAAAACAUGCGCUAAUCUUUCUAGAAAGAAACGACAUUUUUAUCACGACAAACCAUUAACUUUAAUAUGUUGUGACAAGAUAAAGCGUUAUUGUAAAUUGUGUGAAAAAUAUUCUGAAGGUUUCAAGUAUACUGACUUUCAAUACUUCAGUAUUGAUGUUAAGUGUGCCAUGCUUUCUGAAUCUAUCAUCCAUGAAAGUCAUCCAUGCACCUUGUACUACAAUAACAACACGUAUAUGGAAUGCGCUUCUUGCAAUAAACGGGACUGUCAAUUGUUUAGUUGCGAUGACUGCAGCUUUGGAAUAGAUAAAAGAUGUGCUACUUUGCCAAAAACAACACAACACUGGUACGAUGAACAUCUUAUAUUUUUAUGUUACAACAAAAACAAGAGAGGAGGAGAAUAUUGGUGUGAUAUAUGCGAGGAACAAAUAGAUACCAUGAUCUGGUUCUACACAUGUGAUAGUUGCUGUGUCACGUUCCAUACUGAAUGUGUUCUCGGCGACUUUUCACGUUUUAUGCCGGGACGGAUAGUCACAUGUAUAAAUUGGAGGAUCAAAGCGAUGCAAACCAGUCCGGGUUUCUUACCACGUUGUUACAUUUGUCAUACUCGACGCGCAGUUCCCUUUGUUUUAAACUUAUGUAAUCCCCAAAAUAAUGUUUUCAUCUGUUCUUUAGAAUGUUUACUCAGAAUCUUAUUACCUGAAGAUUUGUAUUUUCUUUUAUAUAGAGAUGUAAUAACAUUCAUAUCUACGAAACAAUGAAUAAAUACUGUGUGUGUGUGUGUGUUUUUUUUAUAGAUUUUUUUUCGUGAAGCCAUUUCUUACCCAACGGCCUUUCAAAGAAAUCUUGGGCUUACUGAACUGAAUCGACUCGUGUGUGUGUAAAAGAAUCAUUCAUCAUCAUCAGUCAAAGAAACACUAAUGGUAACUCUAGAUCCGUCCAAAUGUUCUCCAUACUAAAUUGAUCUCUUCUUCACUUAGGAUCUCCGUUUUUGUUGUUCCGGCGAGAAGGCGGCGAGUCUGAUUGCGGUGGCGAUGUAGCCGACUUUAUCGGUGUUCACACUGACGAUUGGCCUCGUCAUUACCGCUUUCUUCUUCAUGUAAGCUAAACUCGAUCCGAUCGGAACCCCAACUGAUGUUAUAUUUGCUUGAUUGGUAUCAGCUUGUGGCGUUCUCAGUCCUGGAUCUCUCUCCUCUUGUAACGUGUUCAUUGUAUUUAAAGCUUGAUCAGCAUUGCUAUUUGCUUAUAUAUAUAUAGUGUUUGGUAACAAUGCAUUCUCAUGGAGUUGAUGAAUUAUGUUGUGACUUAUUUAUUUAACUUUUGAACAUGUGUGAGUUCUAUAUCCUGUCAUGAUGUAUCGAAGUAAAGACUCUGGCAUGUCAGUUACUGAAUCAGUACUUUUGUAGGUUCACAGAAUGUAAAAUGAUCGGUUUAGUUCAUUACUAGACAGUUGGAUUGUGUAAUUCUCGUUUUUAAGCAAUGAGCUUCAACCUCUAAGAUGGACACGUGCCCUUUACAUUAGUUUUUCCUUGGAGUCCGGUGGUCAUAUUGGACUCUUAUUCACAGUUCUGGUAUAGAUUGAAGAAGUGAUCAAAGUGUUGUAUUUGUUCUUUCUUUCUCUCUAACUUACAUGUUACACAACAUUAUUGAUGCAGCUAUGAAGCUACAUCAUCUAGGAAAAACUGUAGCCUCAAGGUUUGAGCUCGCGGCUGCGGCAGUAGCAUCUGUUUUCUUGGUAUGGUUUCUUUCUUCGUCCUCUGAACUUUGUAAUAGCUGUCUUAAACGCAAUUUCGUGUGGUGAAAUCAGUUUCUCUGGGUUAAAUUGCAGGGAUUUGGAUCGCUUUUUUUGCUACUUGCUAGUGGUGUUUAUGUCUGAUCCUUCGUCCUCAAUACUAUUCCCAACUAGACAGAACUAGUUUCAAUGAACAAAGAUAGAACGCGAUGAGACGAUGACGAUGGUAGGGCACUGUCAGGGAGAUGGAUUCACGGACCAACACGUGCUCUCUUGAGCUACGUUAUACAAAAAAAAACUAUUAGUUCGAGAAAAAACGGAAGAAAUAAAAAAGGAGAGUUAUUUGCAAAUAUACUCUCUUGUUUCACGAAAAGAAUAUUGAUGCCAAGUUAAUCGGAAAAUAAAAGAAGAAAAGAAUCGUUUAGGUUUGAGUCGUUUGAAUCUAUUUUCUUAAAACAAACCACUAAAUUACAUGUUUGGAUCUAAGUAAAAGUUUGGUGUAAAUCAUGUUUAGAAGCAGAGAAAAAUUGUUAUCAUUAUCAAGAGCAGAUAUUAAGGUCUUAAAACAGAAAAGUGAAACUCAUAGAUAAGUUGGUGGACUUUUUGACGAAGAGGAUGUGUAGAUGUGAUGAGAUUUUUUUGAGUUGGAGUGUCUGAAAUUGUUUUAGAAAAAUCAGUGAACAUAACUUAGUAAUAUAAAUAAAUUUAUUUAAUUCAUAGUAUAGGUAGACGUAUUUGAAAGUGGUGAGAUAUCCAUCACCAGGGAAUGAGUUUUAGAUUUGAUUUGUUUCUGUUGAUAGCGAAAACACUGAAUAGCAAAUAAAUGUGAAUUAUUAGUUAAAUAACAACUUAAAACAUCUUGAAUGAGAUGUUGAAUUUAAAAUUUUACUUAUUCUCAUGGGAACGAAGACGGUUGAAGAUUUCUUUGUAGACUAUGGUUUUCACUUUUUGUAUCGGUUUUUAUGAAAUAUAUAAUUUUGUGUAAAUUUUCUUCUAUGUUCAAGUUGUAAGUGUGAUUAUGUUAAGAGAAUGAGAUUGAGUUUUCAAAUACCAAAUUUUUUUUUAUAUUAGGGUAUUUAAUAAAGUGGAGAAUAAGAUCUUAAUUUUGAGGAAAUCUUAGUCGAAUAUAUUUUGUAGUUGUUUAGAACAAUGUCAGUAAUUGUUAUUACUAACACUUGUUGUUGUUUUUUUUAUAUAUUUAUGUUAUAUUUGAGGUUGUUAUAAAAAAAAAUGUUAAAUCUGAUUAUAAUGAAUUAUUAUGGUUGCUGAUAUAAAACAAAGAAAACAGAGAGCUUUUGACUGAAUAAUACUCUUUCCUUAACCUUUACAAAGAUUAUUACAUAAUAGUUUUAUAGCGACAAAUAGACAAUCUAGGCUAGGCAAGGCAAUAUGGACUAUUAGAACCAGCUAUUUAGGACAGCUUAAAGCUUCAUUGUCCUUCACAUACAGAUGAGAAAGCAUCAAAAUGGUUGUGGCAAGGUACAGUCGAGGUCGUACUAUUCCUCUUUUCCGAAUCUCUUUCAUGUUGAUAAGAUGACCAUUGGAGACUUGAAGGAUUGGGCUUGAGCUCUCUAUCAUUGAUGUCUUGGGCUGACAUGAGUUUCGUUUGGGCCACUUCAGUAUCUUCACUUACAACUGAAUGUAUUGAAACAUAAGUAAUGACGUUGAAUUGUUGGCUAAAGAGUAAUGAAUUUCUUUGCCUUUCUUUGUUUCUUUUGUUUGAUGUUUUUUGUUAUAUUUGCUUAUAUAUUCUGAAUUAGUUGUACUGAUAUGUUUAAUAAUAAGGCCAAAAGGAAACAAAUAACAAAUCCAAAUGUUAGAAAAAGGGUAACAAAUGUAUUAUUUUAAAUGGAGAAACUGAGCUUAACAUCUAUCUGAAUUUAAACACAUAAUAAAUUUUCAUUUCAGUUGAGAAAUAUUAAUUCAUUUGUAUGUAGGAUACAUGAGUUGUUUUCUUUCUUGGUUCUAACAUAUAUUUUUAAUUUAGUAUAAGCAUAUGUUGGUCCGAAUAUAACACAUGUUAAUUUUAUUAGUUAUUUAAUAUCUAUUUCUCUUCUUUCAUGUUUUAUAGUGUUUGCAUCUUAUAUAUUAAAACAGAAGUCACAAUCUUGAUUCAUGUGUGAUUUUUUUUUAAAAAUGGACCUAAUGGACCUAUUUCUAUAAAAUCAUGUUACAUUUAAUAUAUAAUCUUAUCAUUUAAAUUUUGGGCCUACCUGAAUUUUUUAUUGGGCUAUCAAUAAUUGAAUUUAAACAAUAGAUGAUCCAUUAGAUUUAUAGAUAAUAUAAACUAAAUAGAUUUAGUUUGAUGUUGUAAUACUAUACCUCCAUAUGUUAAUUAUUUAAAUAUUUAUCAAUUUUAAAUUUUAAAAUUAUAAAGCCUUUUUUAAAUAACAAAAAUCAUAUUAUCUAACAAUGAUUAAUCUUUACUACCUUAAACCAAUGAAAACAAAUUUUAAACUAUAUAGUUUAUUUUAAACAUUAAACAAAAACUAAAUGUUUAAUUAUUUACUCGAUAAUAUAAAUCUAUGAAAGGAAAAUUUUAAUUUUUUAAAAACUUUCUAAAUUUGUGAAAUGUUACAAUAUCUUUGAAUAUGACAAUAAAACAAUAUUUUACUAAUCUUUAUAUAUAUAGUUACGAUUUUAAUAAUGAAAUAAUAAUCCGAAAUAUAUAUAUAGAAGAAGAUAGAAAUACAUAAGAAAGUUUGAAACAAUCUAUUCAAUGAAAAAAAUAUACCGUAAAUUUAUUAUGUUUUCAAAAUUGAUAGACAUGUAUAUAUUAUAAUAUAUACCAAUUUAGAAUUGAAAUUAAACAAAAUGUUUAUAUAAAAAUAAAAUAAAACAAAAACCCAUGCAAUUGCGCGGAUCGAGAUCUAGUAUUUUAUUAAAGUAUAAUUUUGUUGUAUAAAUGUGAGAACUAAUUUUCUAUUUAUAUAUUGCAAAUUUAUUUAAAGUAUGACGUUGAUGGUUAAAUGUUUCUUUAAUGACACAUCCCUUUAUCUAUUUUAGGACUGACCCUUUGGUAUCAAGAUGUUGCAAAAAAAUAUAGCUACCAUACGUUAAUAGUAGUACUAUGGGAUUAUUAAUAUUAUUAAUUUGAUUUUUGUAGAUACCACAGGAUUAUUAUAUUCACCUGUAUGCAUUUUUCUUUUGAUUGAUAAUUUCAGGAAUCUUGUGAGUUAUGACUCUUGUCGAUUUGCUCUUUGUUUCCAAAUUAAUGCAACAAAAAGUAACAAAAGAUGAAAAAUGUGUUAGAAAUCUUGCGAGUUAUGAGGGGCUCAGCUUGGAAAACAAAUCUCUCGGACUCGUGCUGGAGAAUCAAGUGACCACGGUGACUUUCCUCAGCUUUAACUUGGCACAGUUAGAGUCUUCUAAACAAUUUUUGUCUCCACUUGAUUAUUCCUGGCUGCCAGGCAGAGGAAGGAGCCACAAGUGUACUUGACGGACUUGACACUCAGAGAGAGCUAACCGGCCAGGUUAAGGAGAGGCGGCAUAGAGAGGAGGAGCUUGGUGGUGCCACAAGUAUUUAUGAUGACUUUGUAGGGGUAGACAAAGAAGCUGGACUCAGAGAGGACGCAAGAGUCGAAGUGAUCGUUGGAGAGAGAAGAAACAAUCUCGCAGGCAGCAGGAGUGUGUAUUUCGUCAAGCUGGGACCUGGUCAGAGUACGGAGACCCAGUCCCUUGGAGUCUUGAAGGAUGCUAGGCUCAAAGAAAGAGACCUCGGGCGGCUUCUCGUAAAUUCGAAACCGAUUGCAGAUAAGGCCAUGUCACCUUGUUGUCUGAACUUGUAGUAGGAGGAGAGAACGAUGGGAUUGGGGAACCAAGCAGAAACGGAGCUUAACAGAAAGUAAAUUAUAAACUGGAAAUUAAAGAAAGCAGCUAUAACUAUAGUGAAGACUCGGUGCGCUACAACUCAGGAUGGCCUCUUAGCGCACUGCAAAUAAAGAAAGAAACAUUGUUAAGAAACAUGUUACUGUAAUGGAGAGAGAGAGUAAUGUAAUGAAGGGAAGAAGAAGCUUUACGUUGGAGUAGACAGAGAUUUGAAUUUCUUGAUUCCACCGUUGGGGAGAACGUCUUCAAUGCUGUAACCGAGGGGAGCUUCGUAAAAUAAGGAACUACUACAACUGCCGGACUUCUUUUUACCAUAUUUCGACUCCAUCACAAUCUCAUUCACGCUUUCUGCAAUUUCAAGACCAAACCAUAUGUAUUAGAUGCAGGAAAGAAAAGCAACGCUUAAUAGAGACUUAUCAAUGUUCAAAGUUUUCACAUUUCAAUAACAGAUCUCGAAUAAACGUUCAAUUUAUCAGAUGAGACAUGAUCAGAAUUCAUUAGAUCUACAACUAUGAGACUUAAAACGUAUAUAGGUAUCUAUAUAUGUAAACACAACAUCAAUCAAAACAUGAAUCGUCUGAUACAGAAUAUAAUAAUUGAUCAGAAUGAUGAAUCUCUUGUACAAAAAACCGAAUAAAAUGUAAAUCAAACGUAAUCGUAGGUAAAGACGUUAGAGAUAAUUACUUUAUAUAUAAAGAUUUAAAUCAAGACCAGAAUUAUGAAUCCCUUCUUUCCAGAUAUGAACGAAACCUCCAGAAACUGAAAGUCAAAACAAUCGAGGUUAUGAUAGCAUCAUCCUCAGGGUUGAUAGGGUGAUUUAGAGUGUAGGGAUGCUAACCUUUUUACCUUUUUAUAAUCGAACCUCGACCGUCCUCGAAGAGAAAAGGUGGCAUUGAAGAUAGAUCGAUGGAUUUAAGAAGAAAUUUAAUAGGAAUGACCGAUGGAUUUAUGAAUCAGUAGGAAAAGAUGAAAAGUUGGUUUGAAACCUAGAGGCGGAGGCGGAGAAGAGAGAGCGAGAUGAAACUAUAUCAUAACAAAAGCCCAAAAUACAGAUCCAAAACCACAGAAGCCCAAACCCAAGUAAUCAUUUAAUGACGUGGAGGAAUGCUGCAAUUCUACUGGACGAAUUUCCAGUACGACAUGAACCCCUUCAGAGAGCUUUAUAUUUGGCUUUUAGCAUAGUUUUGAUACUAGGAUGAUGACAAUGUUUAAGAAUUAUAUAUAUACUAGGAUGAGACCUACGCUUUGCAUGACGUGAAACAUGCAUAAAAAUCAUAUAUUCAAAGUAAGGUAGUUCAGUCCGGAUUUUGGUUUGGUCUAGGCUCAGUUUUUCAAUUUUUUUGUUUAUAAAAAUUAAAUAUCAUAUAAAAAUCAUAUCUGUUUUAGUUUGAUUCAGUUUAUAUACUGUUGAUUUUUUUAUUACAUUUUGGUCUUGUUUCAGUUUAGUUUUUUGAUAUUUUGGUUUACAAAAAUUAGAUAUCAUAUUAAAAUCAUAUUUAUCUUGGUUUGAUUUGGUUUAUACACUGUCGGUUUUUGGUUUAUUCAAUUUUAUACCAAACAAACUUAAACUAUAUUUAUUUUUAAAAUAUUUUGCUAAUUUAAUUUUGUAUAAUUAAGAAUCAAAUUUAUUAAAUACUACUCUAAUUUUAAAAUAGAAUGUUUUUUCUAUUAUAUUUAACUAUUAAAAUAAUUAUUAAAUAAAUUAGUUAUUAUAGAUUCAUAAGAUGGAAAAAAAAUUAACACUAUACUAAAUCGUAAUAGUGAUACAAAUGGUUUAUAAAGAUUUCGAUAUUAGGUUAAGGAUGUUUAUAUCCCCUAUUAAUUACUACGAAUUGUACUUAUAAAUAGGGAUUUUUGCACGAGGAACAUUAUUUACAACUCAACGAGUAUGGUAUCAUAUCCGGUGGAAGCAUUCGUUGUGAAGCAUGUGUCUUACCUAUAUAUUUUCAAGCAUUCUAUAGCUGCGUGCAAUGCAAUUUUAUUCUCCAUAAAACAUGCACUAAUCUUUCUAGAAAGAAACGACAUUUUUAUCAUGACAAACCAUUAUCUUUAAUAUGUGGUGACAAGAUAGAGCGUUAUUGUAAAAUGUGUGAAAAAUAUUCUGAAGGUUUCAAGUAUACCGACUUUCGAUACUUCAGUAUUGAUGUUAAGUGUGCCACAAUUUCUGAAUCUAUCAUCCAUGAAAGUCAUCCAUUAACCUUGUACUACAAUAUAGGGAAGUUUAUGAAAUGUGCUUCUUGCAAUAUACUAUAUAUUGUUUAGAUGCGAUGACUGCAGCUUUGUACUAGAUAGAACAUGUGCUGCUUUGCCAAAAACAACACAACACUGGUACGAUGAACAUCUUCUAUUUUUAUGUUACGAGAAAAACAAGAGAGGAAAAUGUUGGUGUGAUAUUUGCGAGGAACAACUAGAUACCAUGAUAUGGUUCUACACAUGUGAUGAUUGUUGUGUCACAUUCCAUGUUACAUGUGAUCUUCAACUUUUUACGUUUCAUGCCCGGACGGAUAGUCAAAUUUGAGGAGUGGAGAAUCAAAACGAUGCAAACCAGUCCUGGUUUCUUACGACGUUGUUAUGUUUGUCAUACUCGACGUGCAGUUUCAUUCGUUUUAAACGUUUUUUAUCCCGAGAAAAAUGUAUUCAUUUGUUCUUUAGAAUGUUUAUUCAGAACCUCACGUGAAGAUUUGUAUUAAAUGCAUAAUGUAAUCCUUUCAUAUAUAUAUAUAUAUACUAGGGUUGGUCCGGGCUACGCCCGGGUUUUUGUUUAAAUUUUAAUUUUUAUUAUAUAUUUUGUAUGUAUGUUUGUUUUAAUCUAUUUUUUUCUGUUUUAAAAGUUUCAAAAAUUUUAAUAUCCAAAUUUCUGAUAUUUUUUUAUUGGAAUUUGUAUAUGAAGUGAUGAGCAAAAUGGACAAAAUUGAUUAAAUUUUAGCUAUGUGUUGAUUGAUUGGAUUGUAAAAAUGUUUCAUUUCACUUAAUUUUUUUUAUUGUUUCCGAAUAUUCUCUUAGUAAUUUAACUGACUCUCACCUUUAAAUAUACAAUCCUUUUAAAAUAUACUAGAUCCUUUUUCCGCGCUACGCGCGGAUAAUAUAUUUAAAUUUGUUACAUUUAUCAUUUUUAUUUGUAUGUGAAUUUUUGUAUAUUAAAUUAUAUAUAGCUAAUUUUUAAAUUUUUUUUUAUAUUUUUAGUUUGAAGUAAGUAUUUCUAUUAUAUGUAACACAAUUAACUAAUAAAAUAUGAAGAAUCAAGUCCGAACGAAAAGAAAAAAGUACUUCAAUAACCUACUUAAAAUAUAAAACUCUCUUUUCAAAAAAAACGUACUUAAUAACAUUUUUUAUGUGUAAUAGUUGAAAACUGAAAAUUAAAUAUCGAUCUAGAAAAUUAUUUUAAUAUAUCUAAUGGUAAAAUAUUAAUUGUAAUAAAUAAAUUUUGAAUUUUGUAAUAUUACAUGAAUUAGAAGUCUUUAAAAUCUAAAAUCUAUUUUAUAAUAUGUUUUUAUUCAUUUAUUAUGACGUUACAAAAUUUUCCUUUAGUUUUAUUUGUAUAUUAAUUUUUUAAUAAUUUAGUUUCUUUUUAGUAAUUUUAAAAUUAUCAAGAAUAUAAUAUAUUUAAAUAUAUCCAAAUAUGAUGUCUCAUUUUAAUGUGUAUUUGCAUUGAACAUAUUUAAUUUGUAGUCUGUAUAUAAGCCACACUAUACAAACAAAAGCACAAAAUAAAUUUCAUAGACGUUGUUGUUGCUUUACUUCUAUGUGUAGAUGUGAUGCCGUAUUUUUGUAGUUAGCGUUUUGCCGUGGUUACUAAUUUUCUAAGAUUCGUAUUGUAAUGUGGUUGAGAUGUAGUGAUGAACUGUUCUAAUAUUUAGCGGUUGGUGUUAUGUAUAUGUUGUGUGUGUAGAGUCAAGAGUGUAUUUAACAUUGUCGGAGGUUUUUCUAAAAGAAUAAUAAUGAUUAUAUUCCUAACUUAAGAUUUUUUUGUUUUUUGUUGUAAUUUUUAAUUGGUGAUAACAUAUUUAUAAAGUGCAUAGCGUUUGUUGAAGUUUAACUGGCUAAAAAUGUAGCGAAAAAGGUAUUUUUGUGUAAAACAAAAUUGUACUGGAUCAUAGUUAGACAUAAUGACUUUAACUCAACAUCAACAGUUUUAAUUUAUUAUUAAAAUAUAUAAUCUUCUAUGUCGGACACGUGAUAUAUCAAAGCGUUCAUAAAUUAAAAAACACAUCUAAUUUUAUAAUUUGAUGAGUUUUUAAUUUUUGUAAAAAAACUUGGAGAAUGUUUCAAAUAAUAUAACUUUGUAAAUUCUCUGUAGAUAAUCAAAAACAUUUCUCAAGAUUCUUUAUCGACUUCGCGUUUAUAACAGCCAUUGUUACCAGAUGAUCUUAUUUGAGAUUGACUCAGGCUCUUGGGUUUAUGGAGGACAAUGUGAUGUCCUGAAAAACCUUGAGCCUCUUCUUGUCCAACACUUUCGUCUCUGUCCCCAAAAACAGCCAUGAUCACCACUUCUUUGAACUCCUUGCUGUCUGGUAAUCCAGACUCUAUCGCUUUCUUCUCUUUCGUGUUUGUCUCUCCCUCAUCACAACCACCAAAACUCAACAUUCCCAUGGUUUGACUCGACAAUCUUGUCCUCUUCAGCUUCUCUUUAUUGUUGAUCAACUUCGAAGAGAAGAACGGUUUUGCAUCAACCCUUAAUGGGUUGUUUAGUACUACAUUCACAUUCACAUUGGUUUUCACGUUCUCGUCACCGUACCCACCAUUGCUCAAAUCCGGCUUUGCCUUAGGCUUCACGCUCUGUUCUCUACUGAGGCUGCCAUAUAUAGGAAGAACAAAACAUGGUGUCAAAAAGCCUUCUCUACUCAACCCUAUCAUCCCCUCCUCUUCUCAUCAUCUCGGAGCCAAGAUCGUUAUAAGCAUAAGCUUUUAAAUGUGAAUCCACUCCUCUAGGACCGUUAUUCAAGUGGCUAUCUCGUAAUUGAAAAUGAUGCUUACAAAUAUCUCGUAAGCUUUAAGUACUUGUACCUUGAAGACAUCAGUGCCACACAGAAAACCACCGUCUAAUAAGACAGAAACUUGUCCAUAUAUGGUUCUCUCGAACGUGGCUAAAUAUGAAAACUUUACAACCUAAACCAGCAUGAGCUCUAUCGCUAAACUACUUUAUGACACUUGGAUAUUUUAAUUAGGAAGCUUAAAGCUUGAAACUUAAUAUUGAUAUGGAACAAAUCAUGAAAUCAUGUUCAUAUACUGGUCAUAUAAUUCACUUUUUGCAACAAACUAAGACACACACAUAAACAGAGGUCCUACUGUGUAGAAACACAAUUAUACAAAGAUACUACUGCCGAGCUGAUAAAUAGCUUCAAUGAACGUCUCAUGAAGUUCUUGUAUCCCCACCUGUUCAUCAAAACCCAAACCAUUCACCCGCAAGACAAAUCUAUGAUAUAGUAACUCCAUGAUGGAAUCCCACAAGAAAUUUUUUAUCGCCACCUGUCAUGUAUGAUCCCCUUCUCUCUUCUGUCGUUUACACCAUCUGUGAUUCUUCUCUCUAAUGUGGUCUUAUUUCAUAUACAAACAUUCUUCUUGUGGCUCUUGCCUCUGUGUAGUUCCAACUGGUACAUUUCUGUUGCAUCAUAUUUGUUUUAGCAAUCCAUUUGGUCCAUGGUGUCCUCUUUUCGAUUCACAGAAAAAUAAAAGCUCAGCUUAGUAACAUACGUUGUAUAAUCAACAUGAAAGAGAUCAUGAGUGUUUCGAGUGAGUGAUUGUUGAUCAGCCUUCUUUCCUCUUUAUCUUCUCUGGCCAUUUUCCUUGAAGCUGAAGCAGAUUCAGUUUGGUCCCCUGUUUGUGUCUCAAGACUAAAUUCGAUUUCUAAAGAUGUGCAGUUGCAUUGCUUUGGAAAUGGCUCUGAGGAAGAGGUCUUGUUCUCUUGUAGCUUCUGUUGUUUCUCAAACAUAAUCUAUAGUUGUCGGCCCUGUUUCUCAAUCUGUAUCUGCAGCGACCGUUGGACCUGAGGCAUAUAAUUUAAACAGCAUCACACAUUAGUCAUGAUAUGUUAGGACUUAGGACGCACUACUACUCUUUCUUGUUUGAAGUAAGGUAAAGAAGGGUAGUUUAUUUUUAUUGAUAACACAGGUGAAGGAGAUCAUAUUACCUCGAGCUGAUCAUGGAGACGUUUCUGAACUUCCAUUUGAAACCUUAGAGCUUGUGUGAUCUCAACGCUCAUGCAAACGAAACAUUAACAAAAAUUAACUUAGCUAGAAACACACAUAUAAGUAUUUAACCUUAUUACAAACAAAACUCUAAACAAAUAAAGUCCCUACGUUUUCAUGUCAAGAGGUUUGAUAUCUUCCAUAGAUGUCAACUUCUUUUCUUGAGGUUCUUCUGUAGCUUCUGAAGUCUCCGGUUUGUACCUCGCCGUUCUGUAUUUCUGUAGAAAGAAAGACCAUAUACCACAAAGAUAAAACAGAAUGAGAUGCAAAAAAAGAAACGUGGAACAAACCUUCAAAUGGCUUUUUAAGUGAUAGAUGGUCAAGCCAGGGUUAUUCAAGAGAUUCAAAACAGCCUUAGGCGUGGCUCCUAAUGGUGGAUAUUAAGAAAGUUAAGAGAAGAAUAAACAGCCCUGAGAUAUUCUUUUUCAAGAACUAAUAGAAGAAGAAAGCUUACACACGUUCACUACCACAACGCUGAUUAACAGCUUCAACGAACGCCUCAUGAAGUUCUGGUGUCCAACGCAUGCGUUGCUUAGAUGCAGAUGAUAAGUUUCUUGCACUGAGCUGCUCCUCAAACGAAACCACUUGAUGCGGGGGGUGGUUAGCUAUUACCUCUUCUUUCCUUGGUACGACCAAACAUGGUGUCGGUAUCUGUUGAAAAGGCAUGAUUAAAUGACAAAAUGAGUAAACAGAAGUUCGUAUAAUAAUGCUACAUAGAAACUGAACCUGUGGACUUGGAUCUCCAAGAAGUUCAGACCAGUUAGGCUCCGAACCAUUGUCAAUAAGCUGAUCUGCCCAACUUUGCCAUUCGCUUUUCUGAUGGAGUUCCACGGAUGAGACCACCCUCUCUGCUUGUUGAUUCAGAACAGGAACUUGAUAAGAAAAAUCAAAGAACUCGUCUAGAGGGUCUGCCAACUUGGAAAAUCUUCCAAAUAAAAAGCUUUAUUUUUGGGUCAGUAUUCAGCUUCCAUAUUCAUUUUUCCCAGUCGAUAGGAGUCGCUUGAAGGACUUGUGCUGUAGUCUCUCAGUGCUCACAAGCUGCCCAAUAUCCAGAUUUUGUUGAGUAAACCCCAUCCUUCGUUAAUAAAAUAAAGAAGUUUCAUGAUGAACUACCAAAUUUCAUUUGGAAACAUCUGGUAAGAUGUCAUAUAAAGAAAGAGAGGAUAACAAAAACAACAAAGAAGACGUAAUACACUGGAUUUAGUGUUUACCUGUGAGCACCUUCUAAUGUGGACUAUGAUUUACUGAAGUUUCCACCCUCAGUGAUAAAGGCUGGCUUCAAGUCGCCAUGUUCAUCUUCCCCAUUUUUGGCUGUGAAGUUAUGAUGUCGUUCGAAUCAGUAAUAUAUCGACCGUAGCAUAAGGCCACUGAUCCCAUGGAGACUAUUAUGUAAGACCAUUGGAAAAUACAGAGUUAGGUAUUUAAAUGCAAGCUGCUAAAACAGAUGCAAAAAAGUGAAUUACAAAGUAUCAUCCUAAUCUUCUGCACCAGCGACACUUUUUCGUUCAAUGAACUGUUAUUCAACCUAUUCAUAGAAACAAAAACAAUGUGAGACAGAUAAUCAUCAAACACCAGUUUAAAAAGCAUUUAAAAUAGAAAAUGAAUUCUCAAAGCCACAAUUAGCUGCAGGGAAGAUAAAUAAGACAAAAUAAAUAGCUAAAUUAUGUUUAUUCAUAAGUCGGAUACAUACUCUGAUGAAGUACAUAUAGAUCAUUGGAUACCAGGUUCUACAUUCUUGGGUCAUAAGUAUACUGUUUUUAGAACCAUAAGAAAAAGACCGAGGCAGGUCAACUUACAGUUUCAGGCAGAUUAUUAAUCAGCACUGAAGUCAUCACCGUUGCUCGAGCAAAUAUUCUGAAAAAAAAUCAGCAAAAACAGUUGAUUAGAUAUCCAAAGCAUCAUCAAACAAAAUGUCUAAAUGUUCAAAGAGUCGUCAUAAACAGUAGACUUUCCAACGCUUUCGAAUCCUUCAGUGUCGGGGUAAUAUAAUGGAAGUUUUUACACCGUCAAGCUCUAUCUCUAGUGGUGUUCCCCAUACCCAAACCCAAAUCCAUGUUCACAACAGUUAAAGUGGAUUCCAACCAAAAAGGUUAAACCUUUCAAUAGCAAGAAGACUAUAUUUGAAAUUGGAGGAUGAUAUUGUCCUGGCAAAAAUGGGAUUGGUGGUGACAUACCUUUUGUUUUGGUAUCACGCAUGUGUCCAACACCAAAACCUAAUGAAUAUGAAAAUAUUUAUUUAUGACUAAAGCUUGGAAAGGAAAGGGCAAAAAAAAAAAACCUUGCAUCUCUCUCGUUCCAGUACUCAGCGGCUGAGUACUCAAACGAUCUUAAACCGUUUAUAUCGAUUCCGUCGUGGUUAUCGUUCGGAUCUCCGAACUCGUUGCUUUGGAUCGUGUCGAACUCGACAGUGAAGACGUGGUUCGUUUCGUUACCGUUGUUUGAGUUGUUGAAGAGACCGAUGUAUUGACUUGAUUGGGAGUGCGGAAGUGAGGCUAUGGGAUGGAGAGACGACGAAGACGAUUCCAUGGCCGCUUAGAGUGGGGAUCUGGGAGUAUAUGGCGAAGACGAAGGUGGUGGAGACGGAAGAGACGGUGGCGUUUGGUAUGUCUUUGAACUGGAUUGGUUUUGUGUAGAAGGCGUGACCGUUUUUUUUGCCACCAUGUUUGAUCGCCGGAAGAUGAAACGGAGAGAGAGAGAUUCACGCGAGAGAUAAAGCAUGAUAUGGGCUGAGACUUAAUUUGUUUCGAACAAAACAAAUACAAAAAUAAAAGAGCCCAAGAAUACCCAAUUUCUUGAUCUGAUGUGGUGAAAUGCUGGUUUGCUAUUGGCUGAUUUUUUGCUUACGUGAACACAUUCCCCUUAGCUUAUAUUCACCUUUUAGUAUUGUAUCGAUUUUUUAACACCGGUUUAAAAAUUGUAAUAUCUUUCUACAAUAAAAACUUACAACUACGUCACUAAAACCUAAAAUCUACAAACUAAAUUCUUACAACAAAAUUUUUGCACUUACAACCCAAAUAUUUAGACCCAUGAUCUAAAUAUUCAUUUAUCUUAAUUAUAUAAGUUCGGGUGCAAAAUUUUUAUAAAUGUACAACCAAUCAUAACUUAUAUUAAUUUUGAAACCAUUGAAUUCAUAACUUUCACAUGUGCUUUUUCAAAUUUUUUGUUACACUUCGUCCUAAGUCUAUUUUGACUGCUACAAAAUAAUCAACUCAGGUUUGUGUCUACGUCGUGCUCUUCGUUCUCAAGCAGCGAUGGGUGUUAGAGUCCACAAUCACUCAUCGAUUUGUUGUUAUCUUCACUGAUUGUUACUUGUUUUGAUCCACACAGCAUCUACCGGUCUUGAGCUUCAAGAUCAGUCUCCACUCGGCGUUAACAGAAGCUCUGAAGCUAUCAUGAAUGCUUUAUGUUCUGUCAAUGAACAUCCUAUUGUUUCUGCUAAACUGGUCGGGUGGGCAUUUAGUUCGCCACCGCGUUUGACUUUUUUCUUCUAUGUUGGUGGUCGGGUUUCAUGUUGAUUAUUUUGUUUUGGUCUCGAUUUAAGCUUAUGUUCAUUUCUCUUGUAAAUUUUUUUUCUUUUGUAAAGUUUGGUUCCUUAUUUAUGAAAACUUUUUCUUUAGAAAAUUCUUCGCUCACCAUGAUACAUUUAAAUGAGUUUUAAUUAUGAAUAGAUCCUUAAGAAAAAACCGCUAUCCAAACUCAACUCCAACAUCUAAAAGAACAUGAAUCUUUCUACCCAUCUUUGAUCAUGAAAUUUUUAAAGUAAUAAGUUAUUAUUUUUAUUGUUAUAUAUGUAUUUUAACUGUAAUAUAUAGGGCAAUUGUCCAAAAGAACACCUUUCAAGUUUAUGUCACAAAAAUGACACCAGGAAAUGAAAGUUACAAAAAUGACAUUCAUUAAAGGGCAAAAUGUCACUACUACCCUUGUGUUAUAAGAAUAAAAAAACAAACAAAAUUCAUUUUUCACUCGCGACUCUUCGAAACGUGUCGUCUCCGGCUCGGGAAUCUUCAAACCCUCACCGGCACUGUCGUCUCCGGCUCGCGAAUCAUCGUCUCCGGCUCGGGAAUCAUCGUCUCCGGCUCGGGAAUCAUCUUCUCCGGCUCGCAAAUCAUCUUCUCCGGCUCGCAAAUCAUCAUCUCCGGCUCGCGAAUCAUCUUCUUCGGCUCGCUAUUCAUCUUCUCCGGCUCGCUAGUCAUCUUAUUCGGCUCACUAAUCAUCAUCUCCGGCUCGCUAAUCAUCUUCUCUGGCUAUCUAAUCAUCAGCGUCACACUCUCUACUCUCAAAAUCGGACACAAAUCACUAUGUAACUUUUUUAAAUUAGGGGUUUUGAAUUAAAAUUUGUGAAGCUUGCGUUUUGAUUUUGAUUUGUUUGUUACUCUUUCUUAUUAACCAGCGAAAGACUUUUGAAUUGUGGGAACACAAAGUUGUUGGAGCAUAAUUCAUCUCUUUGAGGUAUGUUGCAGAUUCAACCUUCUGUGUGUUUGUACAAAUUUAUAAAAUAAAAGUUUGUUGUCUCUUGCUGCAUCUAUUGAAUGUUUUUAGAAGAUUUCCAGAAAACAUUUGUUGCUGCAUCUAUUGAAUGUUGAAUAUUGGAACUCGUAUGGUAACACAUUUUGAAACUUUUUUGCUUGGAGUCUUGUUUUGAUUAGGAAUGUUGAUAUUUUUGAUAGGGUCUUGAAUUUGCUUAUGAGUCUUUUGUUGCUUGUGAAACUGUCUAGUGUUUAUAAUAAUUUCAGGAAGCAUUUGUCUCCAUUUGUUUUUGAUAGUGUCUUGAAUUUGCUUAUGAGUCUUUUGUUGCUUGUGAAACUGUCUAGUGUUUAUAAUAAUUUCAGGAAGCAUUUGUCUCCAUUUGUUUUUGAUAGUGUCUUGAAUUUGCUUAUGAGUCUUUUGUUGCUUGUGAAACUGUCUAGUGUUUAUAAUAAUUUCAGGAAGCAUUUGUCUCCAUUUGUUUUUGAUAGUGUCUUGAAUUUGCUUAUGAGUCUUUUGUUGCUUGUGAAACUGUCUAGUGUUUAUAAUAAUUUCAGGAAGCAUUUGUUGUGUUAUUUCAGGAAAGCCUUCCAGAAAAGUUUGAAAUUUUUUUUUUCUUGUUUACGCAGGAUGGGAGAUUCAGUACCUCUAAAACUAGCACUGCCAGAGCUGAAGUAUCUUAUUGGUUCACAGCCAAAGCAAAAGUCAGCAAUCAACCAAUAUUCCGGCUCAGAGUAUAUCUCCAUUAUUGACAGCAUCCUAAAACCAGAUGAGAUGAUAAGAGUCCGAGGAUCAUUUCUGGGACCUAUAAUGAAGCUCAGUGAGAGAGGAUUGAAGUUAUCAGGAAAGAUGGUCUACGCCAUUCUCACUAGAAGCAUUGUUUCUGUCAAGAAGAAUGAAGCCUGGUUCCAUUUCGGUGCGCAGCCAAUGAGAUUCUCUAUAAGAGAAUUUCAUAUGAUGACAGGCUUGAAAUGUAGUGGUGCAUUAGAAGGAACACGAAGGGAAACUGAUAGAUUUAAUUGGGAAUUGCUAAAGGGGCGUAGUCAUAAGUUAAGUGACGUGGUGGAACAGCUCAGAAACACAAGAGAAGAUGCUUCUGAGGAGAGAGUAUGCCUCGCAAUGCUCAUCCUGGUAGAGAGCAUAUUAUUGCGGAAGAGCAAAGGAGGGAGUUUUCCUUUGGAAUAUGCGAAAAAUGCACAGGAUAUGACAUAUCCAUGGGGGAAAGAGGCUUACAUUGUGCUCCUGAAGUCAAUUCAAAACGCUGUCGCGAAUCAUUUGGAGAAUAAAUCCAAAUUUGAGUUGCAAGGUUAUCCUCUAGUAUUCCUUCUUUGGAUACUAGAGUCGAUUCCUUUGCUAAGGAAUAAGUUCAGUAAGUGUGUACCAACAGUUGAGGUUCCUGGGCCGACUUACUUGUGUAAAAAAAUACACUGACGUAGAGAAUCCAUCACUUGAUAGGGUUUUACAGGUUGAAGCUGAUACAAAGGUAAGCUUUUCCAAGUAUAUGUUUCUCAGUUUAUUUGGCUUCUUCUUUUUAAUAUGUUUCUCAUUGGUCUUUUUUAAAAUACUCUCAGCUGAAGGUCCAUUGCAUACUACCUUCUAUUCCUCAUGAUCCAGAAGAUGAUAUCUCCAUUGAAGACAAAUAUAGUGACGAGCUGGAAACACUGAAAGAUGUAACAAAGAAAGGGUACAAGCUUACAGCCGAUGACUGGGAAAAUAGGUGUGUAGACACAUUUGAAACAUUGGAUGCUCUUAUUCAAAUGAUGGCAAAUAAGGAGACUAGCCAAGCUUCUACUCCGAUUGAUGAGGAUUCAGUAAAUGAAAAAGUGAACAGGAUCAUCGAGGUAAUGGAGGAGAAUCUGAAGAGCAUGAAGGAUCGAAUGUCAUUACUGGAAGAAGAAAACAUGCAUCUUAGAGCCCGUGUGUCAGAGUUGGAAGGAAACAACAAUGUUUUUCCCACUAACGUGACACAACAGGUAAAUUCUCAAAACAUCUUCUUUUACAUUUGCAUUUUCAAGUAUUUUUUGGAAGAUCUUGUACAUAUUCUUGAAUGCCUUCCUAAUAUUUGACAAACAGCGAUCCAGUGGGACACCUUUAUCUCCAAUGUCUCACACGCAACCAUCGAGUGAGACGCCUUUAUCUCCAAUGUCUCAACAGCCUAAUUUGACACAUGAGGUAUGUAAAAAAUAAAUAUUGUUGAGUUUUGAAGUAAUAUUUGGAAGCUUUUGUACUUCUUGAAUGCAUUCCUGAUUUUUGCAGGAGACAAUGAUUGAAUCAGCUGCAUCUCCAAAGUCUCAACAAAAUGAGGUAUAUGCUCAAAAAAUUUUAAGAAAAUAUUUGGAAAUUCUUGUACAAAAUCCUGAAUGCCUUCCUAAUUUUUGCAGGAUUACACGCAACCAUCGAGUGAGACGCCUUUAUCUCCAAUGUCUCAACAGCCUAGUUUGACACAUGAGGUAUGUAACCAAUAAAUAUUGUUGAGUUUUGAAGUAAUAUUUGGAAACUUUUGUACAUAUUCUUGAAUGCAUUCUUGAUUUUUGCACGAGACAAUGAAUGAAUCAGAUGAUGACACUCCUGCCCUUGAUACUCAAGUAUUCUCUCCUAAUCUGACAAAAGAGGUAUAUGCUCAAUGAUAUUGUUUUCACAGUUGGAGUUUACAAAUUAGUUUUGGGUGAUUUUUUUUACAUAUAAAGGCUUUUCUGAUUUUUGACAGAAAGAAACAAGUGAGUCACCUGCUGAGAGGCCAUCCAAUCCUAAUCAAGAUGGAAAACCAGAUGAUGAGGUAACAUUUAUUCUAGAAAUUAUAGUUGAAUGUAUUCAUGAUGGCCUUUCCUGAUAUUUUUUUGCAGAUUGUGAGAGAGAAAUUAACAAGGGAGUCACCUGCUGCUCAGAGUCAAGUUUCGCAGAAAGAAACAGUGGAAAUGAAUGAGACAGCUUCUUCUCCAAUAGCUCCAAAGAGUAUUGAAACUCUCGUUUAUACUCCAAGUCAGACUCAGCAGGUACAUGGUCAAAAAAAAUCUUGGAUUUUUAAGUUAAUGUUUUGAAGCUUUAGAACGUACUCUGGAUUGCCUUCGUGAUAAUUUUUACAGAUUGAGAGAGAGCCAUCGGAUGACACGCCUGCCCUUGAUAGUCAAAUUUUCACUCCUAAUCUGACAAAAGAGGUAUAUGCUCAAUGACAGUUGGAGUUUAAAAUUAGUUUUGGGUGAUUUACAUAUAUAGACCUUUCUAAUUUUUGGCAGAGGGAAACACAAACCUCUACUGAUGAGACGCCACCCAAAACUAAUCAAGAAGAAGGAAAAACAAAUGAUGAGGUAAUAUUUACUCUAGAAAUUAUAAUUGAAUGUAUUCAUGAUGGCCUUUCCUAAUAUUUUUUGCAGAUUGUGAUUGAGUCACCUGCUGCUCAGACUCAAGUUUCGCAGAAAGAAACACUGGAAAUGAAUGAGACACCUUCUUCUCCAAUAUCUCCAAAGAGUAUUGAGGCUCAAGUUUUUACUCCAAUUCAGAAACAACAGGUAAAUGCUGAUUAGAUCAUAACAUGAGAUUACUCAUCCAACAGCCACUUUUUCUCAAGCUUACACCAAUCAGGAACUUUGACCUUCACAUCAGCAAGCAUUCCAUCCGCUUCCAUGAGUUCUUCUUUGAGUUUUUCUAACUCAGCAGUGAAGUCAAAUUUUCCUUUAGCCUUAAUAAUCUCUUCAAGCAACUCGAUUUGGGAAGCAAUGGAAUUUGCUUUGCUGGCUGUCUGAUGCCAUUCAAUUUCAGAUAGCCUGUGUUCGUUGGACAAACGAAGAAGAGCCCUGUAACGUUCCACAGUUUCCGCCUUUCCUUUGUUGAAACCAUCGGAAGCAUCAGAUCCGUAAACCUCCUUUAUGGGACGCUUCAUCAUCUUCUUUGACCCUUCCAUUGAAACUUGAUGAAUGAGAAAAGAAAAAUCACAGAAGAAAUGAAAGUCAGUAAAAGAGAGAUCUGAUAUCUUCCCUUGUAUAUAUAGAACGAAAAGUAACCCUUCGAUUACUAUAAAAUGGUUUAGAAAGCAACCUUUCGAUUAUUGAACGGUUACUGAGAUAAAUGAUAAUAUCUUCAAGCAACUCGAUGUCGUUUGGAAGAGACUCUUCGAUUCCUGAGAUAUAUGCUUGAACAAAAAAAAAAAAAUCAACCAUUACUCGUAGGAGAGUCGAACCCGGGUCGAACAAAUGUUUCGGUAUCAUAGGUUUGGUGGUUUAGCCGAUAGGCUGAGGAGAAUCAUCUGUUAGUUGCUUCCACAUAAUUGAAUUUAACCAUAUAAUUUAUAGUAUAAUACAUUGGAAAGAUCUUUGAUAGUUCAGGAUGGGCUUCCAGAGUAUGCAUGAAUAAUAUACAUGAAUAUUAGUGUGCUUCUUUCUUAAACUAGAAAAAAAUGAAAUGAGAUCAAAACUAAGGAUUAAUAUCUACAUAUUUGGAAAAUUUGAUAAUGUGAUUUGCAAAUUUUGGAGGAAAAAAAAAUAUAUAUACACAUCUACUAGGAUUCGAACCUGGAGAUGACUAGGAGGAAAGAGGGAAUUAAGGUGUAGUAGCCACUAGGCCAAGUUGAUUUCAGUCAUUACAUGUUGUAAGUAAAGUUAUAUAUUUCUUUUAUUUUUAUUCAACUUAAAUUUUUUUAAAAAACUCUUAUUAGUAUGGGCAUCGAACCCGGGUCGAGUCAAGCAUUACAAUUUUGACAGAUAAGUGUUUUAGCCGCUAGACCGAGGAGAAUCAUCUGUUACACUUUUCCACAUAAAUAUUCUUAACAGAAAAUGUUGUAUUAUAAACCUUGGAAAGGAACUCGGGAUUUCUGGAUGGGAUUCCAGAAUAGUUGAAUAUUACUGUGUUUUCUUCUAGCAAAGAAGUUUAAACUAAGAAUUGAAAUGAGAUCAAAAGAUAAUGUUGUAUAUUACAAAAUUUGGAAGAAAUCAUACUUAUUCGGGAUAGGGUUCCAAAAGAAAAAAUGUAUAUGGUCUGGUGCAUAUCAUGUAACCAUCAAAUAGCCAACAUCCAAAUAAUAAUCAAUAAAAAUGUAGAACUUCAUCCUAUAGGCCUCUCGCAUGUGCUCUUGUUGUGCCCUCCUGUGCCACAUCUGCUGCACUUGUGGGACUGAGAUUUAGAUCCAGGAACCCCAAACUCGCCAACGGAUCUCUUUCUCUUUGUAGGAGGGCGUCCACUUUUCUUUUUGGUAGCUGGAGGUGGGCAAGACAGUUCAUCAAUAUUCUCUGGAUAGGUGGACGUUGACAACUCUCCACCAGGAUGUAUGCUUUCAGCAUAAGCUUUAGCCCACGUUUCUGUCAAGUGAGAAGCAUCAACAAAAAGGUUUUCAUCUCUCUUGAUAUGCUUAGCAGCAGCGAUGGCAUGGAUGCAGGGGAUCUUGUCAAUGUCGAAAACAUUACAUGUGCAGUGCCGCUUCUCCAAGUCAACAACAAACUUCAUUGUUUCAUUCUUCACCUCAAACUCGCUUCGAUCAACUUGAUACACAUUCAACAACAUUGCGGCCCCUAACCUAGAUACCAAUUUCUGCACAACUUUUGGAGUAACCAGGUGCUUAUGUUUCGCAGCCGCUUCGCGUCGCUCAAAAAAUCAAGUGGUCAUCGUCAAUCUGAUAGUUUCAAGGAGAGAGAUAAUGGGCAACUCACAAGGCAUCCUCAACAUAGAAUUGAGAGACUCUGCAAUGUUGGUAGUCAUGAUAUUAUACAUGUUCGCAGGCGCAUAGCUUCGUGCCCACUUCCUAAAAUCAGAAUCUUCCAGAUACUUAGCCAAUUCAGGACAUUUAUCUUUUAUGUCCUUGAAGAUUAACCAGAACUCGUGACACGUAUAGGCAUCAGCAGCGCUUUCCACCAGAGGUAGCAACCCAGUCUUCGCAUAUGUAGGAGUGAUGUUGCGGAGCAGAUGGAUCCUGCAAAUUCUAUGGUGAGAUAAGGGAUAUACAUCCUCCAACGCUGAAGAAAUGGAGUUAGCCCUGUCUGAUACAAAAACAAGAUCCGAAGCAUCCGGGAUCUUCUGGCUCAAACCUCUAAAGAACCAUUUCCAAGAGGCGCCAUUUUCUGCGUCAACCACUGCAAAGGCGAGAGGAUAUAGAUGAUAAUUCCCAUCUUGAGCACAAGCUGCCAAUAAAGUCCCAUUGAAUUUUCCCUUCAGAAAUGUACCAUCUACUGCAAUAACUCUCCUCAUCAAUGAGAAUCCCCUUAUUGAAGGACCAAAAGCCACAAAUGCAUACUUGAACUUUCCUGCAGCAUCCACAUGUUGAUAAGUCAAGGAACCAGGGUUUGUUUCUGUGAUUUUAUACAACCACCUAGACAAAUUGUAAUAGCUGUCUUCAGGAGUCCCUCUAACCAAAAUCUGAGCUUCUUCUCUCACUCUCCAAGCUUGUUUGUAAUUGAUGUGAACACCAUGCAGCAUCCUGACCUGUUCAAUGAUCUGUUUCGGUUUGAGACCUUCCUUUUUUUCUCCAUAAUUGCUGCAAAUCAAAGAACCCAAGAACUUUGCAGAUGCUUGUCUGUGGUUGGCUUUCCUGUGUGUUGUAUCGCAUGUAUGCUCAUGAACAUACUUUUUAACAACGAAAAAAUCUGAAAGAGGUAGCUUGGUAGCACGCAUCCUCCACGUGCAAUUUUCAUCAACACGACUCAAAAGCACUCUUGACUUGUUAGAAGAGACAGUCUUGUACUCAAACUUCCACUCUAAAGCCCAUUUCUUCAUCCUCAACAUCAACUCUCUCUUUGUCUUAAAAUAGCUAUUCACCUUAAUAUCGCCAGCUCCUCUCGUGGUUGGUGAAAGUCCAAUAUGGACAGGGCUAAAAUCCGGAAGAGCAUUCAGAGGAACUGUAGAAACACCUUCAUAUAGAAGACUCUGCAAAAGUCGAGUAGUUCUGUAAGGCAUAAUACUUGAUUAUGAAGCAUAUCAUGCAAACACAAACAGAAAAAUGGAAUUAGGGACAAUGUACCUGUUUUUCUCUCUGCACAGUAGAAAGAAUCAUUGGAUUGGCAUUCAAUGGAACAGGAGAAGCAAAUGUAUCAGAAGCUUGAGUGUUACAGCUAGCUGGAUCAGUACUAACCUGCAAAAGUCCAAUAUGGAUAGGACUAAAAUCCGGAAGAGCAUUCAGAGGAACUGUAGAAACACCUUCAUAUAGAAGACUCUGCAAAAGUCAAGUAGUUCUUUAAGGCAUAAUACUUGAUUAUGAAGCAUAUCAUGCAAACACAAACAGAAAAAGGGAAUUAGGGACAAUGUACCUGUUUUUCUCUCUGCACAGUAGAAAGAAUCAUUGGAUUGGCAUUCAAUGGAACAGGAGAAGCAAAUGUAUCAGAAGCUUGAGUGUUACAGCUAGCUGGAUCAGUACUAACCUGCAAAAGUCGAGUAGUUCUGUAAGGCAUAAUACUUGACUAGGAAGCAUAUCCUGAAAAGUCUAAGGAAGAAAAAAAUCAUACAAACCUUAACACACAAACGACAGGUUCCAUCAAAUGCUCUAGUCUUGGAAAUGAAAGUUCUGAGCUGACGAGUAUUACCUAUCGAGAGUGGGGGGAAACUUUCAAUAAUACAUUUCAUAUCCAAUGAAAUACCAUAACUCAAACUGAUUUCUUCCUCUUUAACACUAAAAUCUUCAGAGACAAUCUUCAUCAAAUCUUCAUACAGUAGAUCUUCUUCUAUGGAAAUGAUUGAUGCAUUCCUCUUCAAAUCAACAAGAAACUCCCACUGGAGAUAUUCUUUUGAGAUCCAUUGUCCACAGAUGCACAAAACUUCCAUUGUUCUACAAAAUCAACUUCAAUUCAUCAACAAAUGAAUAAUAUAUAACAAAAACUAGAUAAUGUAUAACAAAAUGAAAUGAUUCAAACCUUAAUCAAAUCAGACACACGAGAGGGAGAAUGAGAUGAAUAGACGUAGAAACGACAGAUCAAUUGAGAAACGACGACGACGACGAUAAAUCAACGGAGAGGCGAAGACGACAACGGAUCAACGGAGAGGCGAAGACGACGACGGAUCGACGGAGAGGCGAUGAAGACGACGGAGAGACGACGACGAUGACGACGACGGAGAGACGACGACGAUGACGACGACGGAGAGACGACGACGAUGACGAUGAGGGAGAGACGACGAUGACGAAAGACAGCGAUGAGGAGAAGAAGAAGCGAUGAAACGAGGAUGGCGACAAUUAAUUUUCAAAUUUUUGUUUUUAAUUACUCAAAGAAGAGGGCAUAAGGGUAAAUUACCCCUUUAGUGAAACCUAUUUUUGUGAUUUCUGAUACUGAGUGCUAGUUUGGGGAGGAAAACUUUGUUUGGCGUUCUUUGUGUCAUUUUCUCUAAUAUAUAUGUACAUGUGUGUUUUUUGGAAAAAUAACCUUUUUCGUUUAGGUAAAUAAAGUAAAAAUAAUCGAUCAUUUUACCCGUUUGUACCACAUACAAAAAUCAUAUAAAUUAACAACUAUACUGUAUGUACAUAUCAUUUUCAAACAUUACAACAUUAUUCAAAGUCUAGCGUAUAUUAUAUUCAAACAUUAUUAUUCAAAUAAAGUAAUAAAAUUUGCCAACAAAUUAUUCAUAGACCCGUUAUUAACCACAUCAAACAUUGCCACCGAAAAUGUUUAAUUUUAAGAAAAUGAUCGAAUAAAAUUAAUUAGACACCGACGUUAUGCUAGCCACCGCGCAGCUCGAGUGAUGUUCCUCCCGACGACUUCUAUAAGGUACACCGACGUGAAUGCAUUGUAUAUUGAUGUCUCCAACACCGUGUACACGGAUUCACCGUGCUGAUUCUGGUUCCUCUGCUCUGACUUUGGUGGUCCCGUCGAUUUCAAGAGUGUUGUGUUGAUCGGAACAGUUUUCUCCUCGAUUACGAUCACCGUUACGGCGACGAAGUGAUCGGAAGAUUUCUCGCCAGAUGGAAACGCAGAAGCAGGGCUCACCGGAUUGAUGAGUAACAGCGUGGUGGUGAGAUUGGGAUCCCUAGGAGGAAUACUUAAGGGUCCGUUACCGAAGAAGGCGACGCCUCUUCCCAAAGAGAGACAUACGGCGACCUUCCGAUUAAAGCUAAACGUGGCAACUUAACCUCAAUGGUGGAAGAACAGCAACCUGACUUCAGAUCAGAGGAGCUAGCAAUUUGAAGAAAAUAAGUUUACUUUGUUGUUUUUACGGAUUGGGAGAAUGAUUAUCAAGUGAAAAAUACUGACAUUUUUAUAAGUGUAUACACCGCCUCUAAGAAGACAGAAUUGCAUUGAAUGGCAGAUUGUGGGUCGAUAAAGUUAAUAAGGCAAUAAAUGAGAUGAAUCUGUAAUUGGAACGUUUAGCUUGAUUACAUGGAAAACAAAAAGACAUCGUUGUCUGAGUAUUUAUUUGAACGGCGUGGAUGGAGAGACUGGUAAACCCUAAAUUUGGUGUGCAGAUGAAGAAGAUGAUAAAUCACGUUCUGGCUCUAUGGUUCAAAAGAAGCCCAACGAAGCCCCAAAAAAAUGGUAAAACAUGAGACGCACCGUUUUAUUAUAGAGGACACGUGUCACACUAAGGUUGAACGAAUUGAUGAUGUGGACGCACAGGAGAGAUGCGAACAUAUUUAUAUAUAUAUAUACUAGGUCCGGUCCGCGCUACGCGCGGGAUAUGCUUUGUAUGUAAUUAUAUAAUUGUAUAUUUUAUUUGCAUAGUUUUUAUGUAAACUUUUGCCAAGAGCAGUGUAUGUAAACUUUUAUGUUUUUAAAUAAUAUUACGUUAUGUAGUGAUUAUGUAUAAGAUAUAGAUGGUGUUCUUGUUGUAUGUUUUGGAUAAUUAGUAAUCAUAAUUAGUUGGUCAAUUGUGGGUUGCUAUAUUUAUUUCCAAGAAACUAAUUACACAAAGUUCCUUAACCAAUGUUUGUCCCAAUAUUAUGAAGAACAAUAUGUUAAAAGAAUUCACAAAACAUGGCAAGAAGCAAGUGAAAAGAUGCUAAAACAUUAUUCUAGAAGUGGUCGUUGUAGACAAACAUAGUAUCUUCAAUAAGCUAUAUGAAUUCUUAGAGCAUCUCUAAUCCAUUAAUAUUUUUAUUUAUAUAAUAGCAAUUAGAUAUCAAAUUGUUUAAAGCUAUCUCUAUUUCUUCUUUUAUAAUAGAGUUUUGUGUUUUUUACUUCUAUUUAUAGUAAUAUGUUCCAGUGUAUUCUUUUUGGAGGUAGAAAUAGUAAAAUAUUUUGAAGAUAGUCUUAGGUGAUUUAUAACAUUAGUCCACUUUUGUAAAUGAAUUACUCUAGUUUUUCUUAUGAAUUUUUAAUAUGGUAUUUUUUGAUGAGAUUCACAUAUUGUUUUUGCCUAAGUCUGAUGAAACGUGAAAAACAAUAUAGUAAAUGAAUUGUGCUUUUUGUUCUUAUGAAUUUUUGCUAUUUAUUUUUAGAUAUAUAUGUAUCUUUCAAUUAUAUUAUGUUUUUUACUAAAUUAUUAUUAUUGACUAAAUUAUUUAUCAAACUCAAGUUAUAAUAUAUAUUUAAUAAAUGUUAUUGAUUUUUGUUAUAUUUUCUUCUUUUUAAAUUUGGUAAAUAUUUUUUUAAUAUAUGUUUGAGGUAUGUAUAUUUUGGUUUGGGUUUAUUUCGGAUCUCUCUGGGUUCGGUUUAAAUUCGGAAAACCCGUUUAAAUUAUUUAAAAUUCAUAUAUACUUUAAAUUUCUUAAAAGCAAAAAAUAAUAUAUUAUAUAUAAAUUUGAAUAAUGUAUGCCAAAAUUUCUAAAAUUAACAAAAAAAAAAAUAUUUUAGCUUGAAUAUUUAGACGGACAAUCAAUAGAUAUUUCAAGUAUAUUUUGUGUUUUGAGUAUUGUUUAGCUAUUUUAGAUAUUAUAUUUUGACUAUUUGUAUAUAUUUUUGAAUAUGUUGAAAAACUUAAAAAAUAUCUUAUAUAUUUUGGAUAUUUUUUUUUUGAUACUAAAUCAGAAAAUAAUUAAUAUAUUGAAGUAUAUAAAUAUGAUUCUAACCUAUUCGGAUACUCGAAAUAUUUCAGUUUAGGUCGGGUUUGGUUCCAGUUUUCUAAAUACCAAAAUUUUGAACCAGUUCAGAUUUUUAACCAGUUUCAGUACGGAUUCGGUGUUACCUUUUCGGAUCGGAUUCGGUUCUUCGGCCUCGGGUUUUUUUUGCCCAGCCCUAAAUUUGAUUCAUUGAGUGUGGUGAUAAAAUAUAGAAAACAUUUCUGGGAAAUUAAAUUUUUUUCUUUUUGUCAACUUGAGUUUAAUGAAACUAAACAAAAUCGUAAGUCGGAUUUCCUCUGUUUUUGUGAAUUUCUAUCUUUAAAUUUUAAAAUGAUAUAGUUUAGAUUAAAUUGUAUAUUUUAAUUAUUUAUCACAUAUUGAUUAAUGUUUCACCAAGUUCAAUUUGUUUACUAAAUUUUAUCGUAUAGAUAUAUGGUCUAUUUUACUAUUUUGGUGGUCUGAUAAAAGGCCACAGCCAUACUUAUAGAAUGAGUUUAAGAUUGUGCAAUCACCAACGAUCACCACCACUUCGUACAAAAGCACGUAACAAAGACAUAAGUAAUGAAAGGUUUGCUCAGUAGCGUGGUUGGAUGAGUUGAGCAUGCUGAUAGUAAGAGCCGAAACUGAAAACGCAUCGAUAAUAUCAAGAUAAUGAUAAAACAUUUGGGGAAUGAUGUGGUUGCCUUCAGCAUAGCCUUCUUUGGUGCUUUCUCUUGUGUUGGCACAUUGCUUCCGCUGCAAGUCAGCUGAGCAGGUGAAGAUGUUGCUGCAAGUGUUCUGUUAAGGCUGAGUGGAAUGAUAUCAGUUGGAGAGGUUGGAUUGGGAAAAUAGGAAUAUAAGUUAGCGCAAAGAUUUACAGUGGCGGCAGUGACAACUGUAAUAGAGAGGGGGAGAUAUAACAACUUCAACUGCCUAAGAAAAUAGAACGGUGAUUUCAACUUCGAAAGCAGGAGCAGAUAAGUUGCAGUCGCUUAUUACGGUGUGUGUGUAAGAAAUAGUAAGGAGGCAGUGUGAAAGGUGAGAUUACUCAAUGCCGAGAGGUCUAUUUUAUAGGAGAAAAUUAGGAGUAGAGUGAGACAAUUUUGAUAGUUGGAGUUGAUUCUAGACCGUUACGGUACAUGGUCAGAGACUACAAAUGAAGUGUCUUUCUACCAAGAAGCUUCAGACGCUGUCACAUGAAGACUUUUAUUAGCUUCUUCCAAUGAAGUCUGCAGCUCCUUUAUAUCCUCUUCUUGUCUUGUCUCCAUGAGCUCCUGUAGCCUUCUCUCCAGCUCAGAAGGACAUACUCGUUAUUGUUCCUCCAAUGGUCGGACACGUGUCUGAACCUAUUUUCUUCUUAUUCCUCACUCUUCUUUGAAAUUUCACAAUAACAGCUCCGUUAGAGAAGAAAAUCAAGAUAAAUGUUAUGUGGGAGAGAAUACAUAUGAGUUGAGACAAAGAAUCAAAAAAAGUUAAUCGCUUGAAUCUCAAAGACUUUAAUGUCAAGUACUUUACCAUGAGCGUGGAAUACUUACCCUCUUAUUCCAAUCACUUUUCCAGUACAGGCAAAUUCAAUUUCGUACAUUACUAACUUAUUAGAAUCACAUACAGAGUAUAAACUUCCAAUAAAAAACAAAUCAAGUUUGCUGUAAAACCUGAGGCUUGCCUGUGAUGACGAACUGAUUCAGCUCAGAUAUGCUCAGUGGUUCAACCUUGGCGUAUCCUCUCAGCAAUGAAGGUGCUGGGUUGUUCCCACUGUAUUUAGAGAUCAGCCUACAACGAUGUGAAGUAUCACGUGGGAAGGUGUUAUGUAUCAGUAACAUAACAACCGACUGUGGAUGUAAUAACAUAGGAUGCAUUAAACACUUACUCGUAAAAGCAAACCUCCCCUGCAUGAGUCUCUUUGUCGAAAAAUAUAUGUCCCUGACGUGACAUCCUGGAAUGGAAAGAAUUCACGGGUGUUCCAAAUAUAUUUGGUAGUCACAACCAGUAUCAUAAAAAAAAAAUUUAAUAAGUGAUAGAGAUUAAGAAAUUAUUGAUUUAAAUUUCAGAAAGAAUUACACCUCCUACAAUUUUAGGAUUUAUGCUAGUUGCGACAACAACUUUUGGAUCACCAAAGCAUUCAAGUUUGUUGUGGAACGACACAGCUUGUGACUCAAACAAACUCGAAGUCACAUACACAGGUGAUGUGUCAACGUCUAUUCAAAUGUUAAAGUUACAUGAUUUAUGAAAGUUCUGAAUGGCUUCAUAUGAAGUCUAGGAGAUUGUGUACACUUUAGAUAUUUAUUGGUUAGGAGAUUGUGUACAGUUUAGAUAUUUAUUGGCUAUAAUGAUAAGCUUGAGACUGAAAAGCUAAAAAGAGGAUAUACCUGGAAUAUGUAUGUUGGUGUUGGCUAGGCCAAGCAGAGAUCGAGAUCUUGGAGCCUGAAACGCUCCACCGAAAUUGAAGCCGGUUCGGUAAACGCAUCAAAGUUGGUUGGGUCACUGAACCGAAUAGUCAGAAUAUAGUCGGACAGCCUGAAGUUCUGAUUGCAACGAACCACAUAAAAAUCCCCUUAGUGUGAACAUUGAACCAGUUUUGAGACGGUGCCUGAAUAUGGGGAGUCGGCUAACAGUCACGGUGGCUGGCAUCAGAGUGGACUGAAAUAAAUGUGAAAAAGAAAGAAUCAUCAUAACGGUAUCAAAAUAUCGCAUUGCAAAGAGAUUCAAUAGAUAUUUAUAUUGAAGAGUUCAAAAUUUACAUGAAGGCCGGAAACUUAAAAAUACAAUGAUCAUGAGAUUUUAGAUCGGAAAACCUUCGCAUAAAGAACCCGGCUUUCAAAUCACGAAGAAGAACAGAAGAAUUAGACAUCAUACUGGAGAUAAAUUUUUAAGAUUAUCAACGAUGUUAAAGUGAUGAAGUAUUACCUAUUUAUAAUGGGAGGAACACCGCCUCUUACAGUGAUUGAGUAUCAUUGAAUGAGGGCGUCAAUGGAGUUAAGGAGAUUAGUAAAGACACUGAAUCAAGACAAUUCAUAACGUCUCUGAAGAUUCAUGCAAUGAAGACAAAUCGACGAAAUCGAUACAUGACACUCCUAACGACGCUUCAGCUGACUCGACAUGCUGGAUCGCCAUUGCAUGGUUAAGGUCGUAGAAGAUCGAAGAAGGUGAGAUCGAAGAAGACGAUGGAUCCCUAAUUUCAUGAGACGCCUUUCCUAACUAUCUCGGUAUAUCUCUAUAGGGCCUGGUAAUCCACAUUUUGUAUUUCAAAUAAAAGUCCAUGUUAAGCCCAUUAAAAAUCUCAGGUGAAUAAGCAAGCAAAACUCGUUUUUUGUACGACUACAUCUUUUACUGCAGUUUAUUAGGGUUUCACGCAAAUGGGCUUGGAACGCAGAGGACAAUAAGAAGCCCAAUCACACAACAAACCCAUAUAUAUUGUCGGAUGAGUUAAAUGAAGCGCAGUGUUUUGGUCAGUGGACACGUGUCACACCGAGAGACUUCAACUUUAUGACGUGGCUGCUGAGAUGGCGCACAUAGGAGAGAGUAAACCUUAUUUUAUAGUAAUAGAUAUAUAUAUAUAUAUAUAUAUAUAUAUGGGUAAUUCUCCUACAUAGACUAUUUUUCAAGUUUUGAUCACAAAAAUAGACUACAGAAAGAAAAAUGACCAAAAUGUUUCAUUUAAUAGGUAAAAAGAUCAUAAUACCCUAAAUAUAUAAAAAAUAAAAAUAGUUAAAAAAUAGUUUUUUUUUUAUAGUUUUAGAUUAUAUAUUUUCAAAUUCGAACUUUUUUAUAAAUUUUUUUUAUAAAUUUUUUUUUGAAUUUUAUUUAUUAUUUUUCAAAUUUUUUUUUUGUAAUUCGAAAAUAGUUUUUGAAACUAUUUUUAAAAUUUUUAUUUUCAAAUUUUUAAUUUUAAUUUAUUUUAUUUUAUAAAAUUUAAACCUCAAUCUCAAAUACUCAUUCCUCAACUCUAAACCCUAAAAUUUGGAUUAGUUAAUCCUAUGGAUAUAAGUGUAUAUUUUUAUCUUUAAUGAAACAUUUUUCUUUAGGAUCUAUAUUCGUGAAAGAAAUUUUAUUUUUUAGUGCUAUCGUAUUUCCCUAUAUAUUUUGUUGACUCCAAGACAAGCAAAUUGAUUGUGAUUAAACUUUCAAUCUUUUCUUCAUUAAUAAAUAGAAGCCACAGACGAAGAGAAAUUGAAUCAAAAGGGAGAAACCGAAACACAACACAAACAUUCAAACUAUGAUCUUCUCUUCUUGUCUUGUUUGCUUUUCUCCUCCAUCUCUAUAUCACUCUUCGUCACCUUCCUCAUUUUCACCGUUCUUUCAUCGUGACGAACAGUUCACUACAAGAAAACAGGGAGAUUCUGAUGGCCGAAAUCAUCGGAAAUUCGUCGGAAUAGACCGAUUCCGACGAAUUUCCGACGAACUCGUCCGUCGGUAUCGUUUCGUCGAAAAAAAAAAAAUUCGUCGGAAUUUCGUCAAAACUUCCGACGACUUUCUGACGAAUACCGAGAAACGUCAUUCUGACGAACUUCCGACGAUAUUACGAUGCGGAUACACGAGACCAGAGUUCAUCGGAAAACUACUUACCGACGAAGAACGUUCGUCGGACAAUUCCGACGAACGUGGUUCCUCGGUUUAUUCCGACGAACUUUGGGCGUCGGAAUUUACCGACGGACAACGGUCAUCGGAAUAUACCGACGAACCGCGUUCGUCGGUAUAUUCCGACGGAAAUGUGGUUUGUCGGUAAAUUCCGACGGAUAUAUGUCUGUCGGUAUAUUCCAACGACCAUUGUCCGUCGGUAUAUACUCAUUUUUUUUACAAAUUAAUUUUGCAUUUUUAUAUAUUUUUUGAUAUUAAUAAAUUUAAAAAAUCGGAAAUUUAAAACUACUAAUAUUAUAAAAUUUAAAUUCAUAAAAACCGAAAUAGGAAAAAAACAUUCAUAAAGUUUAAAAUUCAUACAAACCGAAAUAGAAAAAAAAACAUUCCGAAAGUUUUAAAAAGCCGAAAUAAACUAAGAUGAACUCGAAGACAUCAAACGAUCUAGCUUCUGCAUAAUCUCGGUGUUGAACUUCUUCUGGGAUGCCAAUUCAGCAAGGAUAGUGGCAUUCUCCGAACGGAUAGUGGCAUUCUCCGAAAGGAUAGUGGUGUUCUGCUCCUCCAAUGCCCCAAUCCGUUCAUCUUUGUCAUGUAGCUCCUCGAGAAUCAUGGGAUCGGCAUACGGAGCUUGCGAAGAAGAUGCCGGAUACGAAGAAGCACGACGGGCCAACCCAACUAAACGGUCUCCUUUCCUUUUAGGAACCGCCUACAAAAAUAUUUAAAGUAAGUAAAUAGGGACAAGUAAGUAAUCGACAUUAUAAAAAAUAUAUAUUAAUAAAAAAAAUAUAUUAAUAAAAAAAAUUACCUUUUCAACCAUCUCAUUUAUUUGCAAUAGAGACAGGUUGGUUGAAGCUCUCGUGGAGUCGCCGUCAUCAGAGAGAGGCUGAGAUUGAGAAACUAUCUCAGCUUCCACCAAAUCAACUACACCUUUGAUCACGGGGUCCUGAAUUUGACCCGUCGUCUUGUUAGUGUGAGCCACCUUAAUGAGUUGGAGACGAUCAACGGGAUUACCGUCAUUUGCUUCGAUCUAAAAAAACCGCCAUUAUUAGCCAAGAAAUAUAUAAAAUAUUUAUUUAAAAAAUAUAAAGAUAAAUAAUAAUAAAAAACUUACAAGUUCAUCCUCCUUAGUAGACAUGGAGCAAGCGCCGAGGUUGUGCACAUACAUACCUUUCCCGCCACGAUCGCUCUUCCGGUUCCUGGAGUUCCUAGAAGACGUCUCUGCAAUGUCUUCCUUCUCCCAAUGAGCUAUCAACUGCUCCCACACCGUCCCGUUGAUGAACCGUGGCUUCUUGUUCUUCUGCCAAACUGUCUUCCACGCGUUUAUCUGCUUUGUGUAAGAGUCCAUAGCCUUUUCGUUGAAUUUCUUACGGACUGUUUCCGUAAGAUCGGAGUGCCAGUUGAACUCUUGCUACAAAACAAACACAAUUUAAUAAGUAAAUAUAUGUAAAAAAAUGUAAAAACUUUAAAAAAAUGAAGAGUUACUAUACCGCAAACUGACGAAACCACAACUCUCGUUCGUCGGAAGGGAUCACACUCCACUUUGGAUAUCCAAAACGGAGCAUGGAAUACAUCAUCUGGUUGAUGCUCCGGCUAAUGCCAUUUUUCGACUUGGUGAACCUUUAAAAAAAAUACAAGUUAGCAAGUUAAUUAAAGGAAAAAAUAUAACGGUACAAAUGCUCCGGCUAAUGCCAUUUUUCGACUCCGACGACUUUGCUGUUAAUCGGAAUGUCGUCGGAAAUUUGUCGGAAUAUACCGACGAACUUCCGACGACUACAACGGUUACAUUUUUAAUCGGAAUGUCGUCGAAAAGUCGUCGGAAAAUUCCGACGAACCAUAUGUCGUCGGAAUUCCGUCGGAAAUGGCCGACGUAAUUCCGACGACUUAAUUUUUUUGGUUUUGGUGGGAAAAAUUAUAUUACGGUUUUACGGUUUUGGUGGAAAACUUGAUAUUACGGUUUUAGUGGGAAACUCAAUUUUAUGGUUUUGACGGGAAAAAUCAAUUUUUUGGUUUUGGCGGGAAACUCAAUUUCACGGUAUUGGCGGGAAAACACGACUUUACCGUUUUGCGGGAAUAUUUGAUUUUACGGUUUUGGCAGACUUUGCGGUUUUGGCGGAAAAACUCGAUCUUACGAUUUUGGAAGGAAAACACGACUUUACCGUUUUGGCGGGAAAAUUUGAUUUUUUAUGGUUUUGGCGGGAAAACACGACUUUGUGGUUUUGGUGAAAAACUCAAUUAUACGGUUUUGGCGGGAAAACUCGAUUAUACGAUUUUGGCGGGAAAGCACGACAUUGUUGUUUUGGCGGAAAAUAAGAUUUUUUUGUUUUGUCGAGAAAACAAGAUUUUGCGGUUUUGGCAGGAAAACAUGAUUUUGUAGUUUCUGUGGGAAAAUGAGAUUUAGCGUUUUGAUGAAAAAAAUCCAAUUUAGAGUUUUGGUGGAAAACUUAAUUUUAUGAUUUUGGCAAAAUUUAUGAUUAAAUUUGGCUUAUUAAAAAGUCAACAUAUAAUAGUUUUUUAUAUAUGAAAAAUUGGGUGUUAACAAAUUUAUAUAUAUGUAUAUGUGAAUAAAUGGGUUAGAUUUAGUGUAUUAAAAUAUAGUAAUAUAUAUGAAAAAAAUAAAUAAAAUUUGGUGUAGUAAAAUUGGUUUAGAAAUUUGUUUUGGUUAUUUUUUGUUUAUAUAUUUGAUUUGAGUUUUUGUUUGUUAUAAAUUUUAUUGUUUUGGUUAUGGAUAACUCAUUAUCCAUUACAAUCCAAACCCAUUUUGAUCAAAUUUACAAAACAAAAAAAGUUAUCCCACAAUUUAUUCAUCUUGCAAAAUAACAAUAAUAAUAGUUUAAGAUCUGCAUCUUGUGCAUAAUGAAUAAUAUAUAUAUAUAAAGUAUUUUUACGUAUUAUUAUUUAUUUUACGUUUUUUACACAUUAUUAAAACUACCAAAAUAAUAAAUAUAUAUGAAAUAAUUGAAAACAAUUAAUUACUACAUAUUUUAUGGAUAUAAUUAAAUUUAAAUGAAACUAAUAAAUAUGUAAUAUAUUUAAUAUGUAUAUCUAAUAAGUGUGACUUAAUCAUAUGGUUUUACGAAUAUAUGUAUAUUUUUAUAAUAAAAAUAAUAAACCCUUGAUAAUAAAAUUUUUAAAGUGAGACUUUUAAUAAUUUUAAUACUUUAUAAUCGUUCUUGAAAAUUCACUUCUUCUUCAAUGUAAAUUUUGAAAUUAAAAUAUUUAUGUAUUUAUAUGGUAUAUACUUGAAUAUAUAUACAUAUAUAUUAUUUUGAAUACUUAUUAGAUGCGGCUUUUUACUCAUAUGGUUUUAUUAUCAUUUAUAUGAUUCAUUUGUAUCUUUUUAUGAUAAAAAAAAUUAAACCAUUGUUCACAAAUGUUUUGAUGUGAGACUUUUAACAAUUUUAAAAAAUUAUAGUUAUUUUUAGAAUUCAAAUUAUAAUAUAUAUGAAAUAUAAAAUAAUAUUAGAUGCUUAAUAUGAUUGUUUAUUUUAUGUUAAGAAUAUAAAAUGAAACAUAAAUGGUUGAAGAUAUGAAAAUUGUUAUCAAAUCUUUAUUAUUAAAAUUGUUAAUUGUCAUAGAUAAACUUUAAUCAUAUUAGGUAAUUUCGUAUCUUUUAUUUAAGGAAUGAAGAAAACACAUUAAUUGUACAUUAUCAAUUACUUUUAUGAUUAGUUUAAUGAAAAAGUAUACUAUAUAUUUAAUAGACCAACAUAUUUUUUUUAGAAAUUUUGAAAAUAUUUUAGCGAUACAUGUGUCAUUGAUAAAAUGUUAUAAUGUUUCUCUUUUAAUUUAUAAAAGAUUAGUCAAAUCAGGAAAAGAAGACUUGCAAAUUCCAAGUCUAAACUCUUCUCACCGUCACUGUGUUCGGGAUCCGAUACAUCCAUUGUGGGAGAACGGACAGGGCAAGGCCGAUGAAUGUAUUUUCGAAAGAAAUAACAGCUCUUGGGUCGUGAGCGGGAAUCAUAGUGCGACCGUCGCUUGUAAGGUCAAACUGAUUGUACAUCACAGACUUGCCGUUGUGUAAGUUAAUAUAUAGCAAACUUUUUUCUCUCUCGCUCCAAAAGUAGGCUGUUUUCGCAUCAAAUGGGUUUAUCGUCAUCGGAGCAUAGUUGAAACCACCGGUGAAGAUAGAACCUGGGGAGAUUUGAGAUAUUAGUUGCCAUCCCUCACUCUGAAGCCUCCAUACACACAACUAUAGGCUUCCAUCCACUUUGGUUGUAGAGACUAUGUUCAUAUACAUGAGAAAACCAUGACAAGGUGUACAACAACAAGCUCUAUCGAAUUUGAUAGUUUUCUCUAAAUCAGGAAAAGGUGAAACAUGGCAUCGAUCAGAACCCUUGCUAUUAGUAUAUAAAUCCAUGGAUAACACAACGUCUUGAUAGUCAUUGUUUUUGGCGAGCCAGUGAAGAUUACUGUUCAAGCUAAUCGAAUCUCGAGAAUAAUAAUAGUUGAAAAGGAAGUAUCGUCCAGACUCCACAGGCCUGUCUCAGAUGAAUAUAUCAGACAACUUAAUAUAGUACCACCCAAGCUUUGAUUAAAGACAACAACUUUGUAACCCAAAAGGAUGCCGUUCUCAUCAAUUCGUGUGGCUAUUCCCCCUUGCGAGAAACAUAAUUGACUCCUUUCAAGAAGAGGAUCAAGAAAUAUUUCUACGCAUUCAUGUGAAACCGGGUUAGCCACAUAGAGGGAUGAAUUCUCCUCCUUGAUUUUUGAUAUUGCACAGAUCAAGAUCAACCCAACAUCGGAGUACGCCACGACAUUUACUUUUUGGUAUUUUUGGUUCGGGUUCUUGUCGUUUAAGACAGACUUGAUGAAAGAGCUCAGUGGUCGUUUAAGUCCCCAAAUGUCGCAUUGGUGGUAGUAAUCCGCCAUCUCAUCUAUGCCAUCAGUGGACAUGAGCGACCAUGAAGAAGAAGAAGAACAGGCCGAGUUUUGGUGCAGAGACAGGAAAAGAUUAUGGAAAAACGGAGACACUACGAUUGAUUUCCACUGUUUGCAAACAAGUUUGAAACAUGUGAAAAUCUUAAUCGGUAAUCUCGCUAGUGCCAUCGUCCACAGAUCAUAUGUCAAGGAAUCCAUCUUCGUCUUAAUUUAUUUCAGUUGCCCUUUUUCACUAGUAUUAGUGUUUUUCUCUGUUGCUAUGAACUUUGUAAAUCAUCAGAUUUAUAGGAGUUUUUUUGUUUAAAGAGGGGGGGGGGGGGGGGGGNNNNNNNNNNNNNNNNNNNNNNNNNNNNNNNNNNNNNNNNNNNNNNNNNNNNNNNNNNNNGGGGGGGGAGGGGGGUAGAUAUCAUUAGAUCUUCCAUGAAUAUCGUUCUAAUAUAAUUUAAUCUAACUUUUUUUAAAAAGCUUAAAUAGAUUUCUAUAUUAGUGAAGAGAUUUAAAGCAAAAGCAAUUGUACUCCCUACAUCCCAAAGAUACCCUAUUUGCAAUCCAUACCCUAAAUCCCUCCAUUUUUCUUCCUCCCAUCACUAUCAUUUUCCCUCAUUUGUAUGGUAUCACACUCUUAUAAGUAUAUUGAGCUAAUUAGCUCUUAAAGCAACUCCAGAAAAGAGAUCUGGUGACAAAUGGAUGUGAUACUUUUCCUUUCCAAAAAAAAAAAGAAGACAAAUGAAUGUGAUGACAAAGUAAUUAAAUUAAAUAAUUAAAUUAUAGUUGUGAUGACAAAUGGAGUGAAAAUUAUAAAAACACUACCAAACUGAAUAUUGGAAAUAAUCAGCUAGUAGUUUAUGAACCAGAAACUACUAAACUGAAGUUCUCAAGUUGGAAAUAAUCACUUAAACUUUAAUUAUUAUUUUUGUUUCAUUUUUUUAGGAUCUUAUUUAGAUUUUAUGAAUGUAUAAUACUUAAACGAGAUUUAAAAAAAAAAGAGAAACUAUUCUUAUGUUCUUUUUAAUUUUUAAAUAAUUUUAAAAAUAUCCACUAAAAACAUUGGACAUGUUUUCAAAAGAUCUUACUAUCAACAUUUUAAAUAUACAAAUUACAAAAUUAAAAUAUCUAAUUUUAAUAAAUAUUUGUGAUUUUUAAUAUCUUUGUAAUGUUAGAAGUUUCAGACUUUCUAAAAUUUUAAUAUUAACUUUAACUAAAUUAAUAAUACGAAUUUAAAUAAUGUCGACAUAUAUAUUUUCAACCUCUGAAUAAAACUCAUAUUCUACACAUUGUUCAAAUUGAAACAGGUCAUUUUCCAAAGAUAUGGCUGGAAGGAUAGAGUUUGCUCCUUCUCGCUUUCUUCUUCCAACACUAUUAGCUGAUUAUUUCCAAUACUUGGAAGAUGAUGAAGAGAAAGUAGUCACUAUGAGCGUAGCAUCUUUCUCGCUUUCUUCUUCCUCUUUGACAAAGGUUCGAAUGGUAAAAGUAGUUCAAGCGUUGCAUACAUUACGUAAUGAUUACAAGUUUGUGAAAAUAUAUUCUCUCUUGUUUCACGAAAAGUAUAUUGAUGCCAAGUUAAUCGGGAAAUAAAAGAAGAAAAGAAUCAUUUAGGUUUGAGUCGUUUAAAUCUAUUUCUUAAAACAAACUACUAAAUUAUAUGUUUGGAUCUGAUAUGCUGACAAUGUUUACGAAUUAUAUAUAUACUAGGUAAUAACCCGCGCCUUGCGCAGAAUAUGAUUAUUAGUUUCGUUAUUUUUAAUAAAAACACACUAAAUCUGUUUAAUCUGGAUAUCAGUUAGGUUUUAAGUUAUUUUUUGGUUUUUAAUCACCUAAAAUAUAACUAUUAUUUUAAAUUAAUAUUUAUUUUUGUUUAUUCGGUUAGAAUGUUUGAUUUUUUAGUUUUUUCGGUAAAAACCAAAAAUUACUAUUAUUUGUUUAUUUUCAUGUUAUGAAUUUUAGAUAGUCGUCAUGUCGAACCAAUGGUUUCAUAUCAUAGUUUGUAAACGGAUAAUAGUUCAAGAAAAAGAAAAAAAAAUUAUUAAGACAAAUCAUUUCACUACAAUUUGGUCAGUAGUGAAAGAAGCAUCAAGAAAAAAAAUAUUUCAACUUCCAAAAAAAAAUAGAUACUUCAGUUUUGGUAAAUACUUAGUCACAAGGUGCAAAUGUAUGUGUAUGUAAAAGUAUAUAAAAAUAGUUGACAAAUACAUAAAGAUAUUGUUAAUUAAUAUUAAAUGACAUUUUUGUUCAAAAUAAUACAUGAAAGAUAAAAUUAAAAAUUAAAAAGGCCUUGACAUUAGUGAAUUUUUUUCAUAUAAAGAAAAAUAAAUUGUAUCCGUAAAUAGAGGUGGACACAUAUCGAAUAUCCGGGUAUUUGGAGGCAUUCAUGUCGAUUCAAUCUUUAGCCACAUGGAUACUCGGCGACUCUGAUAUCCGAAAUGAUUUAGGAUUUUAAAGAAUAUCCGAUUUGAUCCGUAGAUAAAAUAAAAUUUUAAAAAUAAUUGAAAAUUUUAAUAAUAACAUUUUAUUACAAAAAUAAAAAUAAAAUAUUAUUUAACUUUUAAAAUUUUAAUACCUAAUAUAAUAAAUUCAAUUCAUAAAAAUAUUGUAAAACUUAUAUAAACUAUAAUAUAUAACAUAUAUAUAUAUAUAAUUCUGUACAUAUAUGUAUAUAUAUGCAUAUAACAGAUCGAAUUAGAUAUCCGUUCCUAAUAAUAUUGGUAUUUGUGAUUUGUUUUUUUUUUAUUGUAUUUUAGCAUUUGAUUUGCUUCGUAGAGUUAUGGAUAUCCAUUUUUUUUUCAAAUCAAAACGGAUAACGAAUCAAAUCAAAAUUUAUAAGUAUUUUGUGCAACUUUAUUCGUAAACAAUAAAAAUAAUAUAUAUAGUUUAACUUUUGAUUCAAACCGAAAAAUUCAAAGUUUUAUUGAAACCAUGCAUGUGAGUUUUAUAUUAAAAAAUACGAAAAAUAUAGUGUGAACACAUUUAUGAAUAUAGUGUGAAUGCGUUAGCAUAUUUAUUAUCAAAUCAUUGUGAGGUUGUCACGUGUCUAUUAUAGUGUGAAUGCAUUUAUUACAAUACUUCUCCUUUAAUAUAUAAGGGAUAUGUUGCCAAGAAACUCGGAAGAUCGAUAUAUAAGGGAAUAAGAGAAACUUUUUUUUUGUUCACAACCGACCGAUUUCAUUAAUUAGCUUAAACCAGGGCCGGUAUAGCAUCCUGGUUUAGGCAAAAGUCAGCAAGAACUUUCUUCGCUACAGAGUCUUCGAAGAUUAAACAUUCCCUACGACAAAAUCUAAAGGAAACUGAAUCAAAACAAUCAGAGAGACAAUAGAUGUCCGAUAUGAUGCCAUGAAGAUUGGAGAAGCUCGAUACCUCUGCAAUCCCCGUCACCAGCUGAAGGGAAUCGGAUUCAAAUAGGACACAUUUCAUCUGUAGGGAGAUUGCAUGUUCCAUUGCUGCGCGAAUUGCUAGUCCUUCAGCCACGAGGGACGAAAUCACAAACGCUGAAGAUAGAUUGUGAGAGCUAAUUCUCUCAUUCUGAUUUUGGUAGAAACUCCAAGCUAAUCCAGCCGUUUUAUGCUCCUGUUUCCACGCUGCAUCUGUUCUGCAUAUCACUUCAAACCCUUCUCUAACUUGUGGAUGUUUCUUAUGUGGGGAGGUUAGUGCGACUGUCUGGGCCUCCAGCCAUUCUUUCGCAUCCACAAUAGCUUUUGUUACUGUCUCUUGUUCAGAGAAUGAUCUUUUUUUGAAAAAGUUUUUGGUUUCGUGCUGCCCAGAGUGACAAGAGGAUCCAAGGUGGUAGAGGACAUUUACCCAGGCCCACGGGAGGAAGUGUUACUGCUUGUAGCAGUUUUUUCCAUUCAACAUCGAAGCUAUUCUGAGGCAAUGGUGUGAAUUCGCCAGAGAAAGGUAUUAAUUCCCAAACUUUUUUUUGCAUAGGGGCAGUGGAAGAACAUAUGAUUUAUAGUUUACUCUCCAUGACAAUGAACGCAUUUAGCCUCUGUGAUGAUCUGUCUUGCCUCCAGUCUGUCCCCUACUGGUAGUGCUCUGUGUUUGAUUUUCCAAAUGAAUAGCUUGAGUUUUGGAGCAGUCUGAAUUUUCCACACUUCUUUCAUCCAUUCUUGUGUGAGAUGUGUUGUCAUGGUUUCUGUUUCAGCUCGUUUUUCCAUUGCUGAGUGAUAGCGUCCUGCCAAGAUAGUACCUUAUCUCCGUUUCCAAUGGCUCAUCCUAGGUGUUGUUUUAGGAGAUCUCUUCCUAUAAGGAUCCACACCAGCCAUGUGAACAGCUUGCAGGAGGUGUAACUUGGAGAAACUCUUGAUCAUGGAAAUACUUUCCUUUGAGAACCCGAGCUAGUAAGCAGGAGGGUGAUUCCAGUAUGUGCCAGCUGAGUUUGGCUAAGAGGGCAUCAUUGAAGCAUUGUAUAUCUCUAAAACCUAAGCCUCCAUCUUUCUUAGCUCUUGUCAUAGUGUCCCAAGCUACCCAUGACAUUUUCCGGGUUCCGGUACUUGAAUCCCACCAAAACCUAGUCAACGCUAACUGUAUUCUCUUACACAGCGAGAGUGGGAGUUUAAAGAAUUGCAUGGUAUGGUUGGGUAUAGAAGAGAGGACACUCUUUAGCAUGGUCAUUUUGCCAGCAGUGGAGAGGUGUCUUGUGCUCCAUCCUUUAGCUCUUUGUCUGAUCUUGUCGACAAUAGAUGUAAAUAGGUCUUGUUUCUUACGCCCAAAGUGUUCAGGCACACCUGAAUAUUUUCCAGCCCCUCCUUCUACCUGUAUUCCAAGUUCAGCUUUUAUCUUCUCUUUGAGUUCAGUAGGGGUUCUGCUCGAGAACGUGAUGCCCAAUUUUUGAUGAUUUAUCUUCUGACCGGAGGCUGUUUCAUAUUGGCAAAGAAUGUGCUUCAAGGUGGAGAUACUUUUGGCAUUUGUUCUGCAGAAGAAGAGGGUGUCAUCCGUGAAUAGAAGAUGAUUGAUUUUUGGGCUUUGUGUGGCUACACGGAUGCCCAUCAUAUGCUUUUCAGCUUGUGCUUUCCUACAUAGGCCUAAGAGAACUUCGCUGCAGAGGAUGAAGAUAUAUGGGGAUAAAGGAUCUGUGGCACCCCCGAUCGUAGAUGACCGAAAAUGGCACGGUCGAUGUUCCUCGAUGGUCGAUCAGAGAAUCUCAGAAUACUUCGAUCACCUUAGACCAACAACCAAAGAACACCAACGCUCCUAUUGAAUAUCACUCUAGGCUUUUCAACCCGAAAAAGCAAUAUCCGAUAGUUAGUUCGUCCGGAGAAGGACUAAUAUCAUAUGGAACCUGUACUUUAAAAACAUUCUUUAUAUAUCAUUUAAAAGCUUCUUACAAAAUUUGUUAUAAAAUAACCUCGAGGUUUUCGGUCAACAAAUCUUAUACAUAAGAAAUAUCAAAACGCCUUUGCAAGGAUAAUAAAACUACCGCUGGCUAAUGCUGUUCCUUUCCGUCCUAGAGUAAGGUCUCCCGUCUACUGGUUACCUGCAUCACAAAUAAGUCAUGAGUAACUAGUUUACUCAGUGAGCCUAGUCCCGCACCCCAACGUAUAUUAGUAAUAUCUCGAGCAAUCAAAUCCAUUUGUAUGCAAUGGAAAUAUAUUCCAUAACUAAUAAGAAUGCAUAUAUAAGGCCUAUAGUUUCACCGAUGUGAAUCUUAUCUUUAAUCUCCACGACACCCGCCAUUCACUCAUACUUAUAAUAUAUAUAUAUAUAGACUAAACCCAGAAAACCACCAAGGCUAACCGAGCCUAGCGGGGAGAUAAAUAUAACCAUCAUUUACAUUAUAUAUUCCAAGAUCGAACAUCUAACGCUGCAUGCAGUUACACGGCCUCCAGGGUGCCACCCCAUCAUCGUGUCUUUGUGAUCUUGUUCCGUAUGGCAGGAACAAUUCACGGUAAUGCGAGAACUUUCGGGAGAGUGAGUAUACAAUAAGACUUCACAUGAUUUAUACUUAUAUAGUUAAUAUCAUACAUAUGUAUUAGUACUUGAGAACAAGUACUAAGGUUUGGAAUAAACAUCUACGAUCAUUCAUAAAUAUUUAUUAAGUGUUUACACUAAGUAAACACCUCACUAAUUCAAUAUUGAUCAAGAGAUAAAGCCUAUCAAUCAUCUACAUUUUCAAUCAUGCAACACUAAUUUAUAACUCUUUAAUCAUCUAUCUAGACUCACCUUUAAAUCCAUGAGAUUGGCUAGGGAAGACUAUACUCGAGCUCAAGCUAAUCACACUCGACUUCUGGAAUAUUCUCUAUUUAAAAACACCACAAGGAUCCGGCUGAUCCAAACCAUAUCCUUGACCAUCUGUACCAAUAACAUAAUGGUUGGAACAAAGGUUAAUCAGUCUGGUUCAACCCCACAGUUCAAGAUUCAGGACAGCUACUAAGGCAAGUUCAAGGCAGCUUUUGUUCGCUUCAAACAUAAAUCGUUUCAGCUAAGUUGUCUAGAUGCUAGGGGACCAUGAACUGAACUAAUAUAAAUUCACACAAGGGAUUAAGAAAUUAAUCCAGAGAGGAAGAACAACAACUCAGCCAGCUGGUUACAAUCUAAACUGAUCUAAAUCAAAAGGCAAAACAGUUUACCGGUUCAAAUCAAACACUGUCUGAACUCAACUGAUACUCCACUUUAAGAUGAAGCCACGCCAAACCUUAUCAGUACCACAUCAAGAAAAGGUCGGACUCAAUCAGAACAAAGCUGAAUCGCAGUCAAUCCAACAUAAAUGCUCACAUAAAACUGAUCCACACAUCAACUUACAUCUUUACCGACUAGAAUCAAAGGCUGAAGAACAUGGGUGAUCCUAAACUUCAGGACACCAACUCUCCAACUCUUUACCACACAAAUACUCACUGACUAAAGUCACAAGAUGGUGAGAAAGGGUCGUCCAAGCUCACUUCUCUUCUCUGAUUUUUUCAUUGAUUUUCCUCACAGAUUUUUCUCUCUUUCUCUCUGAAUUUUUCUUUCUUGUUUCUGAGAUGAAUGAGCUCGACCAGGAAGAGGACAAGGUAAUAAAUGACAGGGGAAACAGCAGGAGAAGAGUCAGAAAGAAAGGCCAAAAGUUUCAGAUCAGUAUGAGACAUGUGGUGAGCUGAAUCACAGUUUCCUUCCCAUGAAGUAAUGUCAUUUCCUUUCCAUGAAGAAACUUCAAGCAGGUGUGCAACUCACAUGAAUUUAAUGUAGCAAACAAGCAGGAAGUUGAAAUCACCGUUCUAUUUUCAAUCGCUAUCCAUUUGUAUGCAAUGGAAAUAUAUUCCAUAACUAAUAAGAAUGCAUAUAUAAGGCCUAUCAUUCUAUCGAUGUGAAUCUUGUACCUCGCUUCCUAUUCCCGUAUUCCAUAUCACUCAUAUAAUCAUACAUAUAUAUAUGCUAGACCCGAGAAACCACAAAGGCUAAACUAGUCUAGCGAGUUAGCAUCACCAUCAUCGUCGAAUGUCCAAUAUGAACAUCUGACACUGCGUUCUAGACCGAGAGAACAGGUUUCGAUGGCCCAUUAACCGUAAACGGUCGGAGCGUUCUAGACACCAAAGCGAUAUAUACCGUUAUUACGUUUGAUUGAAUUCAUUUUAGGUGUUACAUAUAUUUGAUUGAUUGUUUCUAUUGAACAUAAGGAUUUGUAGUGGAAGAGAGUGAUAGAGUUUACAAAUCCCUAACUCUUUUAUUGAACAGAAACAUGAUUACAAAAAUGAUAAGCAAACAACUUUGAGCUUGACUCCGGCUAGACUCUCAUGGCGAGAUUCACCUUCGUCACCGAUCUUAUGGCGUUCGGGUUAAGAUGACUCAUGGUGUCAAUCUACAGCAACAUUAAAGCAUAAUCUUCAUUUUCCUCUUUUCUUCAUUUUUAUACUCUUUUCCUUCUCACGAGACGCUUCAAUCCUCCGUAACAGUAAAGCUUCUCACUCGGCCAGAGUAUUCUCUACCAUUCUUCAUUUGGCCACGUCAGGGUGAGAAAGGGUCGUCCAAGCUCACUUCUCUUCUCUGAUUUUUUCAUUGAUUUUCCUCACAGAUCUUUCUCUCUUUCUCUCUGAAUUUUUCUUUCUUGUUUCUGAGAUGAAUGAGCUCGACCAGGAAGAGGACAAGGUAAUAAAUGACAGGGGAAACAGCAGGAGAAGAGUCAGAAAGAAAGGCCAAAAGUUUCAGAUCAGUAUGAGACAUGUGGUGAGCUGAAUCACAGUUUCCUUCCCAUGAAGUAAUGUCAUUUCCUUUCCAUGAAGAAACUUCAAGCAGGUGUGCAACUCACAUGAAUUUAAUGUAGCAAACAAGCAGGAAGUUGAAAUCACCGUUCUAUUUUCAAUCGCUCCCAUAUCUUGUGUAGAAAAUUCUACUUCUUGAACUCUUGAGAUCUGUCCAACUCGAUCUCACCUCUCUGAAGUAAUUCUUGACUCUCGACCAACAACUCAUCGCGUUUAUCUCCAAAUAGCUUGCUACCAAAUCCUUCAUGUAAUUCUCUGAGCAUUGGCCACGUCAAUGUUUUGCUCUGGGUGUUUCAUCCCAAAUAUGCCUAAAGCCAAAGUAUACCUCAAACGGUUUAGUCUUUCUUCAGUAUCCUUUGGUCCCAACUUCUUCUUCUUUGCAUCAUAAGCUUCAUGAUAUUCCGUUGCAAACAGAAUGCUUCUGGUGCUUCCAUCAUCUUGUAAUACAGUCAAACCAUCUCUUCCUCCAACGCUAAGCCUGAAACAAAUGCUUAAGAAAUCAUGCUUGUAUGGCUCUGGUGCUUGUAUGUCCUAGCAUGAGCUGGUUAGACUUGAGAAGCCGGAAGAAUAAGUGCAUCUGAGUGAUCAUGUGCAUUCGAAUCAUACUGAAUCGGAUCACAAACAAUACCCACCUUGACAUCGAUAACACACGAGUCCGGAGAUGUAUUUGAUGUAUCAAUUAUGUUCCAAAAAUCUCUCUAAAGUAUUAGCAUACCCCACUAAAACUCAAAAGAACGGCAGGAAGGCAUGAGGUUACUGACUCCUAGCAGGAUGGUAGUGAACCCCACCAUGAGGGUAGCAAACUCGAGCCUGAUGAUAGUAACAUCGGUAAGUAAGGUCAAUCCGUUCAAGCUUGUCUCGGUGCUUCUGCUAUGAAAGAUCACUGUUAGGUAACUACCCAUGACUAUCUAUUCUAAAAUGAAGGAACCAGCCAGCAUAUCCUAGUUAUCCUUGCGACUCAUUUUGACUCGAAAAACAUUUGAAACAAGUCCCAUUCUAGCAUCGUAUAACCAUGCUCUGAUACCACCUUUGUGAAUCAAAACGCCUUUGCAAGGAUAAUAAAACUACCGCUGGCUAAUGCUGUUCCUUUCCGUCCUAGAGUAAGGUCUCCCGUCUACUGGUUACCUGCAUCACAAAUAAGUCAUGAGUAACUAGUUUACUCAGUGAGCCUAGUCCCGCACCCCAACGUAUAUUAGUAAUAUCUCGAGCAAUCAACUCCAUUUGUAUGCAGUGGAAAUAUAUUCCAUAACUAAUAAGAAUGCAUAUAUAAGGCCUAUAGUUUCACCGAUGUGAAUCUUAUCUUUAACAUCAUCUCCACGACACCCGCCAUUCACUCAUACUUAUAAUAUAUAUAUAGACUAAACCCAAAAAACUACCAAGGCUAACCGAGCCUAGCGGGGAAAUAAAUAUAACCAUCAUCUACAUUAGACAUUCCAAGAUCGAACAUCUAACGCUGCAUGUAGUUACACGGCCUCCAGGGUGCGACCCCAUCAUCGUGUCUUCGUGAUCUUGUUCCGUAUGGCAGGAACAAUUCACGGUAAUGCGGGAACUUUCGGGAGAGUGAGUAUAUAAUAAGACUUCACAUGAUUUAUACUUAUAUAAUUAAUAUUAUACAUAUGUAUUAGUACUUGAGAACAAGUACUAAGGUUUGGAAUAAACAUCUACGAUCAUUCAUAAAUAUUUAUUAAGUGUUUACACUAAGUAAACACCCACUAAUUCAAUAUUGAUCAAGAGAUAAAGCCUAUCAAUCAUCUAAAUUUUCAAUCAUGCAACACUAAUUUAUAACUCUUUAAUCAUCUAUCUAGACUCACCUUUAAAUCCAUGAGAUUGGCUAGGGAAGACUAUACUCGAGCUCAAGCUAAUCACACUCGACUUCUGGAAUAUUCUCGAUUUAAAAACACCACAAGGAUCCGGCUGAUCCGAACACUAUCCUUGACCAUCUGUACCAAUAACAUAACGGUUGGAACAAAGGUUAAUUAGUCUGGUUCAACCCCACAGUUCAAGAUUCAGGACAGCUACUAAGGCAAGUUCAAGGCAACUUUAGUUCGCUUCAAACAUAAAUCGUUUCAGCUAAGUUGUCUAGAUGCUAGGGGACCAUGAACUGAACUAAUAUAAAUUCACACAAGGGAUUAAGAAAUUAAUCCAGAGAGGAAGAACAACAACUCAGACAGCUGGUUACAAUCUAAACUGAUCUGGAUCAAAAGGCAAAACAGUUUACCGGUUCAAAUCAAACACUGUCUGAACUCAACUGAUACUCCACUUUAAGAUGAAGCCACGCCAAACCUGAUUAGUACCACAUCAAGAAAAGGUCGGACUCAAUCAGAACAAAGCUGAAUCGCAGUCAAUCCAACAGAAAUGCUCACAUAAAACUGAUCCACACAACAACUAACAUCUUUACCGACUAGAAUCAAAGGCUGAAGAACAUGGGUGAUCCUAAACUUCAGGACACCAACUCUCCAAUUCUUUACCGGAAAAAUACUCACUGAUUAAAGUCACAAGAUGGUGAGAAAGGGUCGUCCAAGCUCACUUCUCUUCUCUGAUUUUUUUCUGAUUUCUUUCUUUGAUUUUCCUCACAGAUUUUUCUCUCUUUCUCUCUGAAUUUUUCUUUCUUGCCCAGCUAGCAUAUCCUAGUUAUCCUUGCGACUCAUUUUGACUCGAAAAACAUUUGAAACAAGUCCCAUUCUAGCAUCGUAUAACCAUGAUCUGAUACAACCUUUGUGGCACCCCCGAUCGUAGAUGACCGGAAAUGACACGGUCGAUGUUCCUCGAUGGUCGAUCCGAGGAUCUCAGAAUACUUGGGUGUGCAACUCACAUGACUUUAAUGUAGCAAACAAGCAGGAAGGUAGUCAGGAAGGAAGCAAGCAGCCAGGCAGCACAUGACAUGCACAUGACUCGCAAGCAGCUGAAAGUAUUCAAGACCAGUUUUCGAUAAAAUGUUUCCCGUCCAUCGGUUCUCGUCCAUCUUAGAUAAAACUCGACCAUAAUAAUUAACAUUUGGUCAGAACUAUUAAGAGUAGGUAUUUUGGCCACGAGACAGUCCCAUCAAGAAUAAUUCACCGGGUUGAUUUUUAUUUUUAAUUCUGGUUGAACCAACUCCAAACUGGUCGAGCGGGAUUUUUCACGACCAAAAUUCUAUCUGCUCGUGAGGGUUAUUACAUGAUCUCCUUGCCUAAUACCUCUUUGGGGUUUCACCCAUCCCAUAGCAGAGGCAUUGAUUAGAAACGAGUAGGAGACUGUAUUCACACAUUGCAUGAUCCAAUUGACCCAAAUGGGAUGGAACCCUAGAUGAAUCAUCACUUCCUCAGUAAAAUCCCACUCCAAGCGAUCAUAGGCUUUGCUCAUGUCAGUUUUUACUGCCAUAGAGCAUCGCUUUGAUGCUGUAGAUGUCUUAAGAUAGUGUAGGACCUCGUGUGAGAUUAGAAUGUUAUUAGUGAUGGCCCUGUCGUGGAAAAAGGCUGAUUGAUUCUCAGAGAUCAAGUCCGGUAGAACCUUCUUGAGUCUGUUUCCUAGCAGUUUAGAGAUUAUUUUGUAGUAGACAUUGCAUAGCGCAAUUGGUUUAUAAUCUGCAACUGUUUGGGCUUCAGUAGUCUUAGGGAUCAGACGAACAUGAGUGUGGUUUAAGGUUCUUGGCAUUACACUGGAGGAGAAGAAGGUUCGAAUUUCGGAAACUAUAUCAGCCCCUACAGUGCUCCAGUUAGCUUGGAAGAAACUUGCUGAGAAACCAUCCGGACCAUGGGCUUUGUCCGGAUGGAUAGCAAGUAGCGCCAAAUGAAUUUAUGAUGCAGUUGGAAUGGUGGUGAGCUCUUGGUUAGUUUCCGGUGAGAUUUUGUUGUUUAGAGCUUCUGCAACCACUUGCCUUCUGUCUCCAGGGACUGUUUUGAAGAGUUUUUUGAAAUAGUCAACUAUCGUCCCUGCAAUCUCUUGCUCAGUAAAAACAGGGUUGCCUUCAGCAUUCUCCAUAACAUAAAAGUUGUUUUUUGCCAGGGAAUAAGGGAAACAUAUACGUAUGUUUCACCUAGUUCUAGAACUGGAGUAUCUCAGGAUUAUAUUAUCCUUAACCCUGUGGCGAUGCUUUAUUCCCAAGCUACUCGUCCACGACCCUUCCACAUCCCCCAAACUUACUAGUUCCUCAAACCCUCCUAAUCUCAAUUUAAUACAUUAUACUUUGAUCUAGUUUAUUUGUUAUCACAGCUCUUAUUUCAGCUGAAUUAUGGUAUCACUCUUUGAUUUAUCAAUGCAGUCCAUCAAUGUAAGAGGUUAUGUUUUCUCAAGUAAGGGAACAGAGUGAUUUUAAUGUUUUUUUUCUUUUGUUUAAGGUAAUAGAAAAUCACAUUUUAACUUUCUUUAGCCUAUCCAAGCACAAAAAUAGUUUCAUGAAAUUAUAUGUAAACCAAUCGAAAAAGAAAAGUGUUUCCUAUCCAAUAAAGCAAAGGAUCGCAUAUGUUCGAGGAAAAAACUAUGCAUGCGUGUAGGAUCUGUUCUUUUCUUGCUGUUUGCUUAUGAAAUCUUUAACUUGUCGCAUAAAAUUAGAAUAUUUAAUGUAUAAGCUAAGUUGGUGUAUAUAUAUACACAAAUAAACAUGCUCGAUAUUAUUACAAUCAUUCAUCACAAUGAUUAGAAUAAAAUUACCAACUCACAAACACCCUUUGUACCCUACGCCUUGGGUUAGCCGUUGCGAGGGUUGCCCUCGGAGAGGUGGUUACGUCAAAGACGGUUAUCGUUGCUAUGAGUGUGCUAUUUCCUUUCACAAAGAAUGUGCAGAGGCAACCUUAGAGAUCCACCACCCAUCUCAUCAUGCACAUCCUCUCUCUCUCGUUUUGGAGUGGCGCUGACAGAAAUAUUGUAAGUUAUGUGGAGAAGAUUUGUUUGAUAAAAUAUAUUACCAAUGCUCUAUAUGUGAUUUCGUUGUUCAUACGGCUUGUGCCAAAAAUCCCCCACCAAAUGUUAUUGAAUAUCCCAAAGCCCAUGAACACUCUCUUGUUAUCGAGAAGGGUUUUUAUCAUCCCAGAUGUAAUUUUUGUGGAGGGGGAAGUCGUGAUAUGUAUUAUUACAGAUGUUCUCUAUGUAGUUUGAAUUUCGAAAUCAGGUGUUCAAUGCUUGCUUUAGAGAUAGAUUACCCAUAUCACCCUAAACACCCCCUUAAAAUCCUCACCAAGGAAGAACAUCAUUUCUCUGAUGGUAAAUGUCUUAUUUGUGGAGAGGAAUUAAGGUUGAAAUUUUAUCAUUGUUCAAUCUGUAAGUUUAGUGUGGAUGUUGGUUGUGUGAGGGAUCCUCCACCGCUUACAAUCUUAUUUCCUAAGGCUCAUGAACAUCAACUCAGCCUUACACCAAGGAAAAUAUCUUUUCACUGUGAUGCUUGUGGGAUUCCGGGUGAUCGGAGUCCUUAUUCAUGCCAACAAUGUUAUUUCAUGAUUCAUCAAAGCUGUAUUGACUUACCGGAGAUCAUCAACGUCAACCGUCACGAGCAUCGUCUUUCUAGACGUCUUCAUCUAAGUCCUGGGAGUUGGGUAUGCAGAUUUUGUCACAAAAACGUUGACUGGUCUUAUGGGGCGUUGAUAUUCCGUGUUUUUAACGGUUUUAAACUCGUUUUGGAGCAAUUAAAUGGUCGGUUUUAAUUAAUGUUUUGGUCUAUUUGAUGCGUUUUGGUGUUCUUAAGUGUAAUAUGCAGGUUACUAGAUAGCUUGAAAGAAAAGAACGCAUUCGGGAUUUAUUCAGAAGCAAGAUGGACCGAACAAUGGACCGAAUGAAGUAUUGAUCGCACAGAGCACUAGAUCGACCGAUCCGGGCUACCUGGAUCGACCGAUCCCAGGCUUUCAUACACGAGAUCGACCGAUCCGAGUCAUGUGGAUCGACCGAUCUCAGGCGCUACGGGCUCCACACGCACAAACGAGCUUUUCACUCCUUUUUACCCACUCCCCUCAAUAAUUCAGAAAAGAACUCGACCUUUGAGACUCAAAAAAAGACCAGGGGCGACCAAGAAGGAGACUUACAAGUUCUAGAGAGAGAUUUGAGUGUUUUGUACUUGUUUUGGUGUGAUUUGUGAAGAUUUGUAAAGGAGUUCAUCUCAAAACCAUUUGGAGAAGAUCUUCUGAACCUUUACUCUGUUUUAAUACAAUCUUAUCAUGUUUUCUUCAUCAAAAUCGUUUUGUUCUUGCUUAGUUAUGUGUGAGUAGUCAUCUAGUUGGGUUUAGGGGUUCUCAUAGGGGAUUUCUUGAUGUUUUGAUCCAUAAAACGUGUGUAG